Molecule: long non-coding RNA, 44596 nt
Filed under: Prunus persica (peach)
Lineage: Eukaryota; Viridiplantae; Streptophyta; Magnoliopsida; Rosales; Rosaceae
Description: long non-coding RNA (PPER_LNC001936)
Source: RNAcentral
AGGUAUUUUAGUAUUUUAUUCUUGAGAAAUUUGAUUUAUGUAGAAACUUGAACAUGUAAAUGAGAGAAAAAAAAAUAAAUAUAUAUAUAUAUUAUAUAUUGUAUAUGCUGUUAAUGAGUUAAUAUGGUGCUUGCUCCUAGUUGGAAAUUUAUGUAGUCAUCUACCUAUGAUCAAAUAAAGAUGAAAAAUAAAAUAAAAUUGAGAGCAUCUUCCUCUCCCCUGCUUUGCUCAUCCCUUGUUCUUCCACUUCAGCCCCACUAUUACACCAUUUUUUUCAGCCACAAUUAUAAUAGCUCCAUGAGCAUUAAGUCCCUUUCAAAUUCUGCUGACAUUCAAAAUUGGAAUCUGCUGGUGAUAUAUGAUAGCGUUAACAUAUUGUACCAUUUUGGCCAGUGUACGCAAUAUUAUUGCAUCCAACUUUGCAUAUUAACAUCAGUGGCCACAGUUACACGAUUUGAGUGCACAGAAAGGUUUCAAAAGUUGUCCCACAGAGAACAGUCGUUCAAAGUGAGAGAGUUUUGAAAGCUUAAUUACAAGUUCAUGUUGUUUACAACCUCAAAAAGCUUUCAUACUUGCUUACAAACCUGUAUUUCCAAGUUCUGCAAACCUUGGAAUAUCACUUCAUCCAAAUCCCCUUCCAAAGCAGGAAAAAAUGGCAGCAGCUUUGAUUGGAGAGGCUCUCAUCUCUGCUUCUAUCGAGGUGUUGUGUGACAGAGUUACUUCAGCCGAGUUCAUAGACUUAUUUCAGCAGAAGAAACUUGAUGAAACACUCCUCAUGAACCUGAAGACGACACUGUUGAUUUUGUUUGCGGCGCUCAAUGAUGCAGAGGAGAAGCAAAUUGUGAACCCUGCUGUGAUAGAGUGGCUUAACAGCUCAAGCAUGCUGUCUUUGAUGCAGAGGACUUACUUGAUGAGAUUGACACUGAAGCUUUGCGAUGCAAGCUGGAAGGUGAGGAUCAAACCCACAAUAAUUAACCAACAAGGAUCUUUUUGAUUGUUUGAAAGGAGGGUCUUUGAUGAUUUGAAAGGAGAGGGUUGCUUCAUUUCUGUUGGAUGCUUAAUUAAAUCUUAUCUGGACUUGAACAAGGAUUAGGUUAGCUGUAUAAUUCGUGGUAAACACCUUUUUCUAAGGUUCAUUUAGACUCCUAUUACGAUUAAUUUGUUGUUUCUAAUUUGGACUUGUAGGAACAGACCAAAUAUGUUCACACGUGGCAUCGUUCAAGUCAUCAUCAUUUCAGACAAAAUCAGCCUUCAAGUGUCUGCUGACUCAAUGAACCUUUCUAGAUAUAUCAAGUGCAAUGGAAAUUCAAGAGUUACAUAGAGAUUUGUAAACAUUUUGAAGAUUGCAACACCUGCAAGUGAGAUAGGUGGUGACGAAAUCAGAGCUGAUCUUGAAGCCUCUGAUGCCCCUGUCGUUGCAAGUUGCACCUGAGAACAUGGUUUUUUUUUGGGUAAAAAACCAGCAACAUGUUCGGGGCUGGCAAUUCAAUCCCUGAUGAACUUGAGAAGCAAAGCUCCAGUAAGGAAAUUGGUCGAGGUCACGACAGGGAUAAUUGAUGGUGAAAUGGAUGCUAUUUCUUAUUGCAGCCUGUUCUCAAAGUUCUUGUUGGCAAAAGCAAGAGAUGGAGUAUUUUGAUUGGGAGGAGAGAUAAUGACAUGUGUUGACAAUUCUAGAACAGCCCAUCUGAGUUCUUUUGUCAGGCUGCAUCAUUUAAUCCCAGCAAAAAUCCAGUUUUUGCUAAACAAUCAAAUUGUACACAUUUUUUCUUUUCGAGGAAUUUAACAUUACACAUUUUUUCAUUUUUUCAUCAAACAGUUUUCUAAUGCAUUUGUUGUCCCAAGUUACAAUGAGGAAUUUGGAUUGAGUUUCUUGUGUUAAUAACAUUAUACUUUCAUGGAAUGGUUUAUCUUCUUUUUCUGGACAAAAAUAUUUAGAUUAAUUUCUUGGAAUAAUUUUUUAAUAAUUUUUUAAUUGCAGUAGCGAAAAAAGGAAAAUUGUAUUUUUCAAAACCAAUCUUAAGUCCAGUUUCCUCUUCUUGGUCGUCACACUUGGAAAUUGCUAACCAUAUAUAACUUGGGGUAACAAUCUUAGUCCGAAUGUGUACGAUCUUAGUCCGAUCAAUGGCUACGCGUAUUGGCUCGGCCUUGGGGUCUACCAUUCCAGUGUACAAGCUUCCUGGGUCUUGGGGCAAUUCCUUCAAAUUGUACACAUGUUUUCUUUGAGAAGCAAGGCUCUAGUAAGGAAAUUGGUUAUGUAACAAAUUUUGGUCCCUUUGGAUGGAAUGAUUUACAAUGAGGAAUUUUAUUAUUAUUAUUUUGUUUUUGUUGUUAGUGUAAUGAAAAUGAUCUAGGUUCAUACACUGGGUAUAGCUCUAAUUUGGCCAAUUUCAUUAUUUUAGUUUCUUCAUAUUUUCAAUUAUUAUAAUUUGGUGCGUUGUUUUUUAAAAACAUUCAUGAGAAUCUCCAUUUUUUAGGUGUUUAAGUUAUUCAUCCACAACGGUUUUAUAAUACCGUCAUCUUUUCAAACACAACGAUGAUUUUUUAAUCUAUCGUCGUUGUUUUCUGAUCGUCUUUUUCACUUUUUGUAGUAGUGUCAAUAAGUAAGAUGAAAUAAUACAUUCACAAUCUGUUUAAAUUUUAAAUUAAAAAAAACACAAGAAAAUUUUAAAUAAGUAAGUAAUUUUAAAUAUAUAUUUCCAUUGUUUUGGUUUUCUUUUCAUAUUAGUUUUCUACUAGCUGCUAAUUUCAUUUAAAUUGUUUUUCUUACUUCAUUUAACUUUUAAGCAUGCAGAUGCAAUCAUGACUUCUUCUUUUUUUCAAUAGACUGAUUCUCUUCCCACAUAUAUAAUGCUCUCUAAGUAUUCGUAAUAUGAGUAGGAAUUUAUUUUCAUUUCACAAGAAUUGUCCAUCAAAUUCUGAUAGGUUUGUCGAUAGCACAAGCAUGCACAUAUAGACACUACAAGAACUUUGUUUCUUCAUUUUGUUUCCUAAAGAUUUGUUGGCUUCGUGCAGAUGAAUAACAAGUCUCUCUGUCCUCUAUUUCUUCUUUUUCUUUUUUAACAAUUCAUAUUCUACUUUCUGUUUUCACCCAGUAAAAAUUGAUUUUAGACAUGGGCUUCUAAAUUAUGUGCGGAUAAUGGUUGCAUUUAUAGAAUAUCCAUGGGCUUCUAGUCACCGUGGUUGUUGAUUCAGCAUGUCAUAUUACUCUUGGACUAGCUGUUGACACUACUACAUUUUACACUUUGCGCGACGAAGAACAAAACGUCGCGCAAAGUCGCAUUUAGUCGCCCCAAUUUCAGCGCGACAAAAACGUCGUCGCGCAUAUUCCGUCGCGCGAAGAUCGUGAAGAAAGCCUUUGCACGACGAGGUACAACCCUUCGUCGCGCAAAAGUGUGCGACGGGUAAACCAUCGUUGCACCAACGGUGUGGAGACGAAACAACCCUUCGUCGCAAAAAUAUUUGCGCGACGAUAAAUUAUGCGGCGCACGUAUAUUUGCGAGACGACGGGAAUUGCGCGACAAAACAUUAUUCGUCGCGCAAAAUAUGUAUGGGAGACGUAUAUGUUCGUCGCAGAACAAUUCGCGCGAUGAGAAAGUUUUCGUCGCACAUAUAAUUGCGCGACGAAAAAUUAUGUCGUCGGCCAAAUAUUUUGCGCGACGAAACAUUUCGUCGCGCAAAACGUGUUAUGUGUUCGUCGCGCAUGAAUUAAAAGUGAUAAAAAAAUAUUUGAUUUUUUUUUGUUACAUGUUGGUUUGCGCGACGAAAGAUUUUCCGUCGCGCAAAAAUAAUAUUACAAUUUUUUUUUUAUUUAUAUUUUUUAUUUGAUAUAAAAUUGGUUUCUUUUUAUUGAUUAAACAAUGAAAUUGCAAUAAAAAUAAAUUAGAAUAAAAUUUUGUUAUAAAAUAAAAUAAAAUAAAUGUAUUACAAAUAAAAUAAAUACACUAAUCAAAUAAUGAAUCAAAAUCAACCGAGUCGUCGCCAGUAUGCGGCUCGGAGGGCGGGGCGUUCACCGGGGCAGUGGUCUGGUGGGGAUGCCCGGGAUGGACGGGCUCAGAGGUCGGCGCAUCAAAAUGCGGGACUGGAAUGCCGGACUGUGCGAGGGACUGCAGAAUGACCGACAUCUGGCUCUGAAGAGUGGCCACCUGUGCUGUCAAAGCAGUGACCUGACUGUUUGACUGCGCCGAUGAACGAGGUCGAGGUUCCCUCCGCCGGGCAUUCCCCAUCCCUCGACAAUAUGUCCCCGGCCUCCUCCCGAGAGUCUGAUCCAACGUCUCCGUCAAUAUCUGAAAUCCAGCAUCCUGUGGAGGAGCCACAGACUCGAUCGGAGUCUCGGGAGGAAGCUGGGAGGCGGACUCCUGAAGAACAAGCUGGCUCCUCUCCACCAUCGUCGUCUGUUGAACAUAACAUAAAAUAUAAAUUAAAACAUGCAUAUAAAUUGAAUGCGUAACAUAAGAAUUAAAAUUAAAUAAUACUUACAUGAAGGGACUCGGCCAACUCAUUCCCGGGUCGAACAUAAACGUCACCAAAGACGUCGAUCUCUGGGAACUUGGACCCCUCCUAAAUUGAACAAGAGAAGAAAAAUAUUAGUAUGAAAAAAAUAAAUUAAUAAAAAUGACAUUAAAAAUGAAAUAAAAAUUUUGUGAUUAUUACCCGACGCCGUGCAUCCAUCCUAUAAGAAAAGGGUCUGGAGCCGGAAUGGUGGAGAAGGGUCUUCUUCUUCCUAUUACCCUUAUUCACUUGGGCUUUAUUCUGUUAUACAAAAAAUGAAACGUAUUAGUUAAAAUAUAAAAAAUUAAAUAAUAAUGAAAUAAAAAAAUAAAAUAAACAUUAAUAAGUAAUAAGUAAUAAUUAAACAAAUAUAAUUAAAAAAAUACCGCAAAUUCGGGCGCUUGAAAAUGAGCGCAGAGCCACUCCCAACUAUCCUCCCGCCCCUCAAGCUCCUUCGGGCAACCCUCCUGAAGAGCGACUUGCGGAUCAUCAUAGGCCUGAAAAUGGUGGUGCAAGUCGCUCUUCCACUGCUUGUACCUCUCAGCGAAGAGUCGGUUGACGUACGUCAACGACUCUUCGUCGAGAUCCUCCAAGUUAUAGUUCGUCUGCAAUCAAUUAAUUAGAUACGUUAAGUAAUAGAAAUAUACACAAUUUUAAAGAAAAAUAAUGAAAAUGUAAGGUACAUACCGACAACUGGCCGUGAAUCUCCGCCUGGAUCUCGUCAGGCAUGACCCUCCAAGACUUCCAUUGCAUCGGGCAAUGGGUCCGCACGACGUGGCCAAUGUCGUGGGCCAAGGAGCUAUGCAACUUCGCCGUCGGUGCAGCACGAUGGCGCUCGUCGUAUCCGAUGCUGAUACGACUGUUGGUCACCCGGGUGACCUUCGCCGUCUUCAGCUGACGACACGGUCCUCGGGUGUUCCUCUUCGCUGCAAAGAAAUAAGGUAUUAAUGUUAAAUAAAAAAACAUUGUCAAAUUUCAAUAUAAAAUUAACAAUACAAAAGUGUAGUUAUACCUGGCUGUGAUCCCGAGGCACCAGUACCGUCGGUCGAUGUCGUGUCGAUGGUGUCGGUGGGCCGGUGCCGCCGCCUAGCACUAGCUGGUUGCGCCACGGAUGACGCAGAUGACACAGGCGCCUGGGGCGCCCCGGGACCAACCACCACGUGGUCCAACAAAGCAGGAGCAGUGGCAGCAGAUGCCGACUGAGCCAGGGGAUCCGAACUCGGUGCAGUCGUCAUCGACCUACCACGUCUAAUCAAGUCUGACAUCUGCACAUAUAAUUUCAUUCAGAAUGUAAACUAAUUAAUUAAAAGCAUAGCCUGACCUAGGGUUUGGAAUUUCGGAGUAUCCGGGACUCCGAUCAACGAUCGGUCGAAUCCUAAACGAUCCUAGAAACACAAAGGUACAACUACGCGAGUUUCAGUUCGAUCCAACGGUCCGAACAUAUCAAACCUGGAAAUCGCACAAUAGGCGAAAUUCGAUCAAGACUCAAACGGUAACCAAAUUCAAAUCCGAGCAAACCUACGCGCUCGUGACAAACAGGGGAUCGCUCUGGGACACAAUGCCCCACUGCCACAGCAUCCCACGCGCCGGCAGCGCGUGGGUGUCCAAAGCGAUAACAUUCGCCGGAAAAUUCUAAAAACUAACGGCCAAGGUUCCUACCCUAGGUUGAAAACAAUAUUUGGCGCCACUUUUGUUCUCGGACCUACCCCGAAAAAUGGCCGGAAGUGGCCGGAUUUGAAAUUGCCAAACCGGCCAAAACCUAGGGUUUUAAUUCCUAUUUCCUAUACCCAUCAGCUAGAGCACAAAAAAUAGUCGAGAAAUCAUACCUCAGGCGUCGGAAAUGGUGGCCGGAGGAGAGAGAAAACGGCCGGCGAGGAAUCGGUGAAAAACCGACGAUGUGCGACGGCAGGCUCGACGGCGAAGGCAGGGGAGGCUAUGGCAGGAGCGGCGGUGGCUGAGGUGACGGCGGAGAGAGAGGGCUGAGGUGACGGCGGAGAGAGAGGCAAACGGAGGAAAAAACCAGAAAUGGGGAAGAAGGAGGCAUCGCGACGUUUCUGCAAAUUUUUACGACUUUGCGCGACGAAUCACAUCAUUCGUCGCGCAAAAUGCUAUUAAUGAAUCUUGCGCGACGCUAUAUCCGUCGCGCAAGAUCUGUCAGAACGCCAAAUUCUGAAAGUGGAUUAGGGUCUGUAAGUUUUGCGCGACGAAAUAGACAUACUUCGUCGCGCAAAAGGCUGUCUUUCCGCCAAAAUUUUGGGAUUUAGGGUUUAGCGGGAGGCUGAAACUGAAGGGUUUGCGCUUUUGCGCGACGAAGACGGUAAACGUCGCGCAAUGGUAACCUUGCGCGACGGAACGUAUUAUAUUCGUCGCGCAAAAGGCUAUCUUUCCGCCCAAAUUUUGGGAUUCAGGGUUUAGCGGGAGGCUGAAGGGUUUGCGCUUUUGCGCGACGAAGACACUAAACGUCGCACAAAAGGCUGUCUGCUGAAAUGAAUGGUUUCUGCUUUUGCGCGACGAAGACAAUAAACGUCGCGCAAAACGUUGUCGUUCCGCCAACAAUUUGGGGUUUAGGGUUUAGUGUGAAAACUGGCGCCCAGAUUGCGCGACGAAGAGUACAUAUUUCCUUCGCGCAAUCUAUUUCACUUUCACUUUGCGCGACGGAUAUGUUGGUUCGUCGCGCAAUCUUCAAGAUUUUCAUUGAAAUUUUCACUAAGUGUUCAAAGGGGAUGGAGGUGUGAAAACUGGCGCCCAGAUUGCGCGACGAAGAGUACAUAUUUCCGUCGCACAAUCUAAUUCACUUUCACUUUGCGCGACGGUUAAAUUGUUCGUCGCGCAAAAUGUAGACCCUAAACCCCCUUGUAAACCCUAAACCCUGAACCCUAAGCCAUAAACCCUAAACCCUAAAAUAGUUUCAAUGAUCCAACCGGCAAACUUAUUGUUUGAAACUUGGAGAUCAUAUACGCCAAAAAUCAAGAAGACCAAACAUUCAGAUAUCAGGGAACGGGACUAAAUAUUUCGACGGUUAUAAAUGAAAAGUCAUGAUUUAACGGUUAUUGUAACUCCGAUUUUGAUCAAUUUUGACAGCAGCAUUUGUUGACCCUAUAUGAAUACAAUGACUGAAUUUGAUCUUCAAUUUCAGAUUUUUACACUAGGGGAUACCACAUAAACGUGAAGUUACAUUUGCACAAAUGUAUAAACAAAUUUUAGGGUUUUUGGUGAAUAUAUGAUUUUGAUAGCACAUGCAGUCUACGAAACAAGUUUCAGUCAUCCAGCCGUCAAACUUGUUUUUUUAGACUUCGAGAUCAUAGACAGCAAAAAUCGGACAAAAAAAACAUUCAGAGAUUAAGCAACGGGGUAAAACUUUUCGACGGUUCUAAAUAAAAAGUGAUGAUUGAACGGUUAAUUUAACUCCGAUGUUGAUGAUUUUUUGCAGCUACAGUCCUACACUCCAUAUGAAUACAAUGAACUACUUCGAUCGCCAAUUUUAAAUAUAUAUGUGUGUAUAUAUUAUACUAUAACGUUACCUAAUAUAUAUUUGCGCGACGAAAGUUUGCUUAUCGUCGCGCAAAAAUGCCAUACGCGACGCAUGUAUAUAUGCGUCGCGGAAACUAUGCGCGACCAGUUGUAUUCGUUGCGCAAACAUUACGCGACGCUUAUGUAUGCGUCGCGUAUGGUAUGUUUGCGCGACGAUAUGGAGCCCUUCGUCGCGCAUGGAUUUGGCGCCAUAAAUCCUCAUUGAUUUCAAAUUGUGUAUGCUUUGUAUUUUUUAGAAAGGUUUUGUAUUCAUCAUUUUUUAUGCUUUGUAUUUUGUGGAAAGGCUUUGAAAUAUUCAUUUCUUUUGUUAUUUUUAUUGAAGCUUUAACUUGUUCUGUUCCGCAGAAAAUUCCAAUGAAGUUUGUGAUGAAAUAUGGAGAAUGAAUACACAACUACAUAUGGACAACUACACAUAUUCAAAGAUUUGUAUUACACAAAAUUAAUACACUAACAUAAUAAAUUUACAAAUAAAUUCAUUAUUCAUCAUCUGAACUAUAAUAACUUUCGUUAUCGUCGCUAGCUUUAACUUGUUCUGUUCCGCAGAAAAUUCCAAUGAAGUUUGUGAUGAAAUCUGGAGAAUGAAUACACAACUACAUAUAGACAACUACACAUAUUCAAAGAUUUGUAUUACACAAAAUUAAUACACUACAUAAUAAAUUACAAAUAAAUUCAUUAUUCAUCAUCUGAACUAUAAUAACUUUCGUAUCGUCGCUAUCAUCACUCUCGGUCUCCCAAUCUUCUUCCUCCUCCUCCUCUAUAACUGCAUCAUCGGCGUUGCUAGGGCCCACUGCAACAUCGUAUCGGGGAAGAUCACCGAGGUCAAUUGUAAUUGACUGAAUCGGUAUUUCGACUGAAGACACUCCUUCUAUUUGAAACGGUUCUUGUAUAACAUUUGUAUCUCGAAGUGUUUCCGCAUCAUUUUCCAUUGAAGAUUCUAAACGAUGGUCAGCCACAUUGUCGACGUCGUUGUCACUUGGGUCUAGUUCUGGUAUAUUAUACACGUUCCUAUGAUCCAUCUUCUGCACAACUUUCCACCCGUUCCCGGCUUUAGGGUCAUCUAGAUACACAAUUUGGGACGCCAUGUUUGCCAAAAUGUACGGGUCGUCAUCAUACCAAGUUCUGUUAAUAUUCACAGACAGUACUCCAUGGUCGAUUUUAACACUUCCCGCCCUAUUUGGGUUGGUAUCGAACCAUCGACACUUAAACAUGAUGACUUGGUAUCGAUCUUUGUAAAGCAAUUGCACGACAGUUGUCAGUUUGCCAUAGAAAUCAAUGUCUGUACUUUCGCCUCCACCUGGGACAUGAACACCGCUAUUUUGCGUACACAACUUGUCAUCUCGUGCGGCCCCUAAAAAUUUGACGCCGUUAACAUUACAACCCGAGAACAAUUCAGCGCGAAUUGGGCCGAACGCCAAGUUAUAUAACUCAUCACUGUAAGUGGGGGAAUUCGAUGAUUUCAAUUUAUUCACCUAAUAGUAUACAAAACCAUUUACAUGUUAGUCUGACAAAAUUAAAUACUAAAAUUUAUAUUUGUCAAUUACAAAACACUUAUAACUUACAGAAUCCAAAAACCAUUGUGGAAAUAAUUCACGGUGUUUCCGGGCAACCAAAUGUGAUGGAUGUUCUCGCUUCAUCAUCUGUUCAUGCUCAUCUAAGUAGGCCAUUAUCUCAUCACAAUUGUUCAGUACGAACCAAUGCGCUACCUCCAUGUCAUUUCUAGAAAACGACUCUCCUCGUCCAGGAUCUCCAAAUGGUCGUGCGCUUUGGGCAAAAACAGAAAGUUUUUCAUUUCUCAUACCUCCGUCAUUAUUGCGGUGAGGACGAUUGAAAACCGUCUCCACAUCUUUUAAAUACAUUCCACAGAAAGUAAGCGACUCAUAUUGAACCCAAGCCUCUAUAAUUGAUCCUUCGGGCUUUGCCCUGUUGCGUACACUUUUUUUCAGCUCUCCGAGAAGCCUGCCAAAAUAAAACGAUAUGAUACAAAUUAGCAAAGUGUCGAUAAUGAUGCAUACACAAAUGAUAAAGAUUAUAUACCUUUCUAUUGGAUACAUCCAGCGAUAGUUGACAGGACCAGCAAGCAAUGCCUCUUCUGGCAAGUGAACCAUCACGUGCAUCAUACUUAUAAAGAAAGCUGGAGGAAAUAUCAUCUCAAACUUGCAUAGGACUUGGACAAUGUCAUGGCGCAACUGAAACAUGUCUGUCCUUCGCAAUGUUUUUGCCGUCAGUUGGGAAAAAAAUCUGGAUAACAACAUGAUUGGCUUCACCACAUCUUCCGGCAGUAAGUGUCGAAUACCCACAGGAAGUAGGCGUUGCAUGAACACAUGGCAGUCAUGGCUCUUAAGUCCAGUAAAUUUACCCCCAUCGACAUUCACGCAACGUGCGAUAUUAGAAGCAUACCCAUCGGGAAAUUUGACAGACGAUACAAACUUUAGAAACUCCUUUUUGUCAUUCGGUUUCAUAGAAAAGAAUGCAAGAUCCCUUCUAGCUUUAUCACUGUCCCUAUUCAUCCAUAAACCCCUUCGUAUGCCCAUUCUUUCCAAAUCAAGACGAGCUUUGAUCGUGUCCUUCGUCUUCCCCUCGAUAUCUAGAAUCGUGCCCACCAAUGUGUCGAAAACAUUUUUCUCAACAUGCAUCACAUCUAGAUUGUGCCUCAAUUUCAGUUUCGACCAAUAUGGGCGCUCAAAAAACAUAGACUUGUGCGUCCAGUUCAAAUGUGUAGAAGGUCGGGUCCGACUAACUGUUUUCCCGAACGGAGCAAAAUCCAAACGGUUCAGCUGUUCCAAGAUCUCAUCACCGGACCAUUCUCUAGGUCUGAGGCGACGCUCUGUGUUCCCGUCGAACUCUUUAUCUUUUUCUCGCCACUCGUGGUCCCAUGGCAACCAUCUCCGAUGACCAAGGUAACAAACUUUUCCCGCGUGCCAACCAGAAGUUACAUCUUCCUUGCAUACAGGACAUGCCAUAUAACCCUUUGUGCUCCACCCAGAAACCAUUGCAUAUGCUGGAAAAUCAUUCACAGUCCACAUAACUGCUGCUCGCAAAGUGAACAUCCUCCCAGUUGAUUUAUCGUACGUGCGAACACCGUUUGUCCAUAAAUCCUUCAGCUCAUCAACCAGAGGCCUUAAGUACACAUCAAUUGACCUGCCAGGAUCCUCAGUUAUCAAAACAGUCAUCAUCAUGUAUUCUUUUUUCAUGCAUUUCCAAGGCGGCAAAUUAUAUGGGAAUGCGAAAAUCGGCCAAGUGCUGUGGUGUUGGUUUAGAACCCCAUACGGAUUGAAUCCGUCAGUGGCAAGUCCCAAUCUAACAUUUCGGGGAUCAGCAGCAAAUUCGGGGAACGUUCGAUCGAACUCUUUCCAUGCCUCCCCAUCUGCAGGAUGCCGCAUCACAUCAUCGUCUACCCGUUUUUCCUUAUGCCAUCUCAUGUCUGUGGCAGUAUGCGUUGACAUAUACAAUCGCUGCAACCUAGGUUUAAGGGGCAGAUAACGCAUGACUUUUUGUGGUAUCUUAGUCGUUCUAUUCUGGGAUGUCAGUUUGAACCUCGACUCAUUGCAUAUAGGGCAUGUAUCCAACGUUUCAUGCUCUUUGUAGAAUAACAUGCAAUUGUUUUUGCAAGCGUGGAUUUUUUCAUAACCCAAUCCAAGACCGUGCAACACCUUCUGUGCAUGUUUAUGGUCUUUCGGCAAACAAUUGUCCGUCGGAAGCAUUCUCUUGAAAACCCCCAAAAAGUAAUCAAAACACAAGUUCGACAUACGAUACUUUAUUUUUCCGUGCAUUAGCUCCACAAUGGCAGUGAGAACGGAAAACCUCUCGCACCCCGGGUAUAACUCUUGGUUGGCAUUUUUUAACAGUUUUUCAUACUGUUCAAACUCCGCACUGUCUAUUGGUGUAGGCACGUCAUCUUCCCCUUCCUGAUUGAUGUUGGUCGAUGCGAAUGGAAAAGCAUCCUGUAUAAUACCCAUGACUUGAUCAUUAGGAUCCACAAUAGGUUCAACAUUGUCCACUCUCGGGGCAUUUGAAGACGAAGCAUGGUCUACUUGUUCGCCGUGAAGGUUCCAAAUGCUAUAUGUUUCAAUCAUUCCAUUCCUUACUAAAUGAAAUCCAACAUUUUCAAUUGUCUCCCACAACGUGUUGUUACACCUCCUACAAGGACAACGGAUUCUAGUUGCACCCGGGUUGUGUCUACGUGCAAACUCAAUAAAAUCCUCGAUUCCAUCCAAGUAUUCGUCUGCGCAUCUAUUCGGGUUCUGUAUCCACCUUCUGCUCAUAAUUCCUGAAACCACAAUCACGACACAACAAUCACAACAACUUCAUACGAAGUUAUAAUGUCACCUUAUGCCUCCGGUAAGGGCCCUAUCCCAUUCGGGAAUGCAUAGUCCUGUCACGUAACCUACGGCUACAUGAGAUUAGAUUUCGACGUGGAUUAAUUUCAGCAGCAUCUCGACACAGUUCUUGAAGUGGGCAUAGGUAUAAAUACCUACGUACCACCCGAAGAACGUACCGAGAUGACACCGAAAUCUCCACAAUCGAAACCUAAUCCUGUAGCCGAAGAUUAUGUGACAACACUAUGCAUUACCAAACUGUCCAAAUAAUGGGACAAUUCAAGAAUUAAUUGGACCGCAGUCAUGCAUUACGCAUCCAUGCACGAAAUUCAACUAAUCUCGAACGGGAAACUACGUGUUACUAAACAUAAAAAUAAAAGUACGAAGUUAAUUUCAAUUAACUUCGUACAUCACAACACAUUGUGCUAUGUCACGCACAAUUUCACAACAUUAUACACAUAUAACUUCACAAAAAAAUUACAAACAUAACAAACAAACUUUUACAAUAACAUACCUUCUCAAUCGUUCUCCACCAAUCACAAAUAUCCCUAACGAUAACAAAAUUAAUAGCGUUACUACGAAUUUACAUUAAUACAUUUAAACUAACGACAAAAAAUACAUACCCAAUGAACGUACUGAAUUCACAGUAGAGCAACGGCAGAGAGAGUGAGAGAGAGGUAGAAUGCAGUGGGAGAGUGAGAGAGAGGCAGAAUGCAGAAACUGCAUUCUGCCUCUGCAAUGGAACUGGCUAAAAUGAAGAAGAAGGACUUUGCGCGACUAACAAUCCAAUCCGUCGCGCAAAAUGCCGUCGCGAAAACCCACUUUUCCGUCGCACAAAAAAACAUUUCCGUCGCGCAAUUACCUGCCGACAUCAGGUUUUUUGCGCGACGAAUACAAUUAUCCGUCGCACAAACAUCCGUCGCGCAAAUAACAUUAUUCGUCGCGCAAGGUUUAUAUUACGUCGCGCAAAUAACACUUAUUUCGUCGCGCAAGAAAUUACACUUUACGCGACGAAGGUAAUUCCGUCGCGCAAAAAAGUUUUUUCCACCCUGCAUUUUGCCGCCAAAAUUAAGUAACCCUCGUUUUCUUACGCGACGGUACAUAUUUCCGUCGCGCUAAGGCGUCUUUUGCGACGAAAAUGUUCGUCGCGCAAGAUUCUGGCGCCAAAAACAUAAACUGGGGAUUUUUCCCCGACCUUUGCUCGACGAAAUUAGUUUUGGUCGCGCAUAGAUUGUUUGCGCAACGAAGAUUGUUCGUCGCGCUAGUGUUCUGCUGUUUGCGCUACGGUAUUUUUUUUUCGUCGCAAUAGUGAUUUUUGCGCGACGAAAAUAUAUUCGUCGCGCAAACGUCCGUCGCGCAAAUAGUAAAUCGUAGUAGUGUGAUUUGGUUUAGACUUGGUUUAAUUAUCAUUGUUGUGGUUGGUUCACCAAAAAGAUUUGGCUUAGAAUUACCAGUUUUGUUGUUGGUUUAGUUAUGCUUGGCAUUUGAGGAUCCUAUGCUUACUUGUAUGGGUAAUACAUUUUAUUGAUCGUUUCAUAUACUAAUUAUGAACUUUUAGUUCCAUUGUGCAUUUAAGAGUACACAUAUUUCAUAUGUAAUUCGAAAGUUUGUCGCUGAAAUUUCUGAGAAUUUGAAACUAGAUAAGCACACCUUGCACAAAGUUCAUAUAUUUUCUUCCAGCAAGUCUGUCUAUUAACCCCCCUUAUCUGAAAUUAAUUGUUAAAAGUUCUGAUUCAUCUUUAAUCAUUGUCUUACCCUUGUUGAAUAACACUCCUCAUUCUAAUUUAUAUUCGAAGUUUGAGGUUUCAAUUUCAAUUGUGGGCUUUGAUUUUACAGAUUUUGUUUGUCAAUUUCAAUUUGGACAAAGCAUAUGCAAACAAAGUAAGGCAUUAUCUAUUAUUUGGAUCAUUUCCAUAUGUUUAUAUGUUUUUAAUAUCAUUUGCCUAUGUAGUUGACAUGUUAUAACAUUUUCGUAGUGUUGAAUAUAUAUAUAUAAUAAUUUUAUUUUAGUGGAUGUGAGAUCUCAGUUUGUUGCUUUAUAUAAUUAUUUCUUUGCAAUUUAAUUUUUUUUAUCAGUCAUACUAUUGUUGACGGCUAAAAACCAUCAAGAAACAACUCUUAAGUUUUUUAAAAAAUAAAUAAAUAAAUAAAGAUUUGUUGAUGCUUAAAAAGCAUCAAGAAAAGAUAGUUUCUUGACGGUUUUGUGACGUUUCAUAACCGUCAUGAAACAUUACAUUUUGACGAACGUCUUUCUGAUAGUGGCAUCCGUGACGCUUUCCGAGCCAUCAAUUAAGGGCUAUCGUGAUGCUUUUUAGUUGUCAGCAAAAGGUGUUUUUCUUGUACUGUAUUCACUCAAAAUCGUUUUUCAUUUAGGGUUGCUAGUGUGGUUGAAUGCCAUUUGUUUUGUUAAUGAAUAUUAUACAUUAUGGAUUUUUGUAGAAAUGUCGCUUGAAAUUAUACCUCAGUUUCAAUUUGUCACCUUAAAGAAAAAUUUAAGAGAAAUGUCACCUUAAUUUUUCAAAAUCCACGAUUUGUCAUCUCACUUUAACAUCAUCCAAUUUUCCAUCUAUUUUAAGGGUAUUUUAGUCUUUUCAUUUUCAAGGGAAAAAAAGAGAGGAAGAAAAAGACCUCUCUCUUACUUUCUCCCCCAACCCAACCCCACCCGCCCCCCAAAACACAUCGCAUAGGACCGCCUCCCCCUUCCCCACAUUUCUUUUUUCUUUUUGGCCUACUUUUCCACUAUGUUUAUGUUGAAGGAUCUAAAGUUUUCUUGGUCACCAUCUAUUACGUAGGCUACCGACUUGUUGGUUUGGGUGGGUUGAGGGAAUUUGUGUGUGGAGGGCAGGUGUUCAUGUUGUGUGCACCAAGACCUUAUCGUUGAUGAACUAUGUGACGGCACACACACAAACUCGUUGAGAAUAAAACAAACAUACCACCAAGAGAGUAAAACAAACACACAAGGACACAAAGAUUUAUAGAGGUUCGGCCUCCUGCCUACGUCUUUUUGGUGAUUCACUCGAGAAAUUCACUAGUAUGUAAAAAUAACUUUGGUUACAACUGAACCCCCUUAGCCCUCACAAGAACCUUAGAUCUCUUUUCUCUCACCCUUGCUCAAACCCUUUGAUGCCCUUGUAGACACUCAAGAAUUCACCCUUGAAUUCUAUCUUGUGUUACAUCUUCUCUUCUCCCUUUUGUUAACCUAACCCUAAAAGUCCUAUUUAUAAUGCAUAGGACUUAAGUUACAAGUUAACUUGGAAUAGGAAACAUAAAAUACCCCAAAAAUUGGAGAAAAUCUGUCCAAAUCUAGCCUGCAAAAUCAUCCUUCUGCCGCUCGAGCUGCCGGUGGCGCUCAUGGGAUGGGGGAAUUGGAGAUUUUCUUUUCAAUUUUAAUUGUUUAAAAGAUAUACAAUUUUUUAUUAUAAUAAUUUUUCCAUUUUUAAAAUACACUUGAAAAUAGAAAGCUUAAAAUGCCCUUAAAAAUAGAUGGAAAAUUGGAUGGUGUUAAAGUCAGAUGACAAAUCAUGGAUUUUGAAAAAUUAAGGUGACAUUUCUCUGAAAUUUUUCUUUUAAAAGUGACAAAUUGAAACUGAGGUAUAAGUUCAGGCGACAUUUCUACAAAAAUCCCUAUACAUUACAAUAUUAUAACAAUAAAAUUGGCUAAAAUUGAUAUGUUCCCUCUUUUCUUUUCUUUUUCUCUUUUCCUUUUCAUUUUAUGCUUUGUUGCUAUUGCUAUGUUUAUCCUACAAAUAUAGCAACUUCUCCACCAUUCAUUUGUUAGUGACUACGAUGCUUAGUAACUUCUUCAGCUCCCCUUAUUUCCAUGUACUAACCAGGGACACCAGGUCAGCAUCUUCGGUAAGAAUCCUAACUCAAUCAAACAAUGACAUCUGUAAAUAUUCAAAAUUGGAAUUUGCAUUGUGAUAGUUGAAAGCAUCCUUGUCCCAAAAAAAGCCAAAAAAUAAAAUAAAAUUGAGAGCAUUAAGUCCUUUUCAAAUUAUGCUAAUAUGCAAAAUUGGAAUUUUGAUGGAGUUGCUUCCUUGACUUUUCCACCUUUGUAUCCAGUCCACUUUGCACAAGGAGCCAAGUUUGAGAGAUAGUUUUCUGUAUUUACACCAUCCAGGAGAAAAUUAAAAAACUAUUUCAUGCCAAACUAACUACGGAUUCUUGCAAAGGACCCAUUAGUGUAGUGGUUUGGAGUAUUUACUCCCUCAGGCAAGGUCUUGGGUUCGAGUCCUAGCAUUCAUGUUGUGUGUGUGAGUUUAAUAUGCUAUCACCCCUUCCAAUAGGAAAGGACCUCAAAAAAAAAAAAAAAACUACAGAUUCUUUAAUUGAAAGAAACCCCAUAUUAAUCAUCCUUUGGCACAUAAAUGUUUGGUAAUUGGCAUUAAAGUAUCUAAAGGUUACGAAAUUAAAGAUUUUAAUGCAAACCUAAAAUUGGAAAAGAGGGCACCAAUUCAUGUAAAAUAUGGUGUACUUAGUAGAUCCAACAUAUUUUUUUAGCAACCAAGGACAAUCAUCAUUUUUUUUUUUAAGAACCAAGGAUAGCUUACAUUCUAGUUUGUCCAUCAUGUCAACACAUUUAUAAUUAAAACUUCUUUUUUGGUGAGGUUUCAAUUUUUGUCACUGUAACAAGACCACAAUUGCCAUUCAGUAUGCUAACAUUGUCACUAUGUUUGCCAAUUGCAUAUUAUCUAGAACAUAAAGGCUUUGGUGUUUUGUAUAUCCUCGGGGUGCCAAACCUGUCUUUAUAAAAAUGGUCCUUAUGAUACUACUUUAACAACAAAAAAAUAUAAUAAACUAGGCCUUUGUAGUCACUGAACGAAUGUUUUCUCAUAGAUAUGACUAUUUAAAUGUAAUUACGGGAUUAAAACAUUAUAAUAAAUUGGAGUGAACCAUAACAUUAUAUAUGAUCCAAUCCUUUUCAUAUAUUUUUGUUCAAGACUUUGUUUUAGAAUGCUCUUUUACUAAUUUGGUACAGGUCCCUAAAAUCUACGCCUUUAUGAGGCAACGUCUUUAUUUCUUUGGUUAUUCCAGUUUAGAAUAUAUUUGUACAAAUGAGAUGACUCCCAACAUAAAGUCACAUUCAACCAAAAAGCAUGAAGUCACACACAAAAAGAACACGGACAAUUGCUAAGUUUAUCUUGUAUCCUUAUUUUAUUGAUCCAACCCAAUUGAAAAAUAAAAAAGAUGAUAUAAUAUAUUGUUCACUGCUUACAUCCAUGAGUAAAGUCCUCCAUUUGAAAUUGCGUGAUUAUACAAAAUUGGAAUGAAAAAAGAAAAUCCUACAACUAAAUUUGAUAUAUUCCUUUUCAUUUUAUGUUGGAUGUUAAGUUUUCUUGUUUCUUGUUGAAAAGAAAAAUGAAAAGAAAUAAAUAAAUUACACAGCUAGCAACUUCUCCACCUUCCCUUCUUCCCAUGUACUGACAACAAGGGAGGCCUUCAAUCCAAAAUAAAGACAAGGGAUGCCAGGUCAGCAUCUCAGAUAAGUAUCCCAACCAAAACCAAUCAAAUAAUGACAUAUGUAUCUCUUUUUGUGUUUUGUUCUAUUUCUCUUUGAAUUAACUGCGAAGUUUCAUAAGCGUGUCCUCCUUUUGAAAUUGUGUAUUAUUCAAAAUUGGAAUUUGCUGGUCAUACUUGAUAUAAGCUAAAACAGUUUCCAACAUCUUGUACCAUUUUUUUCCAGUGUGGGUCAUAACUUGAAGAAGCCCACCGACAAUUUCUCAAAAGCUAUUACCAUCCAACUUUGAAAAAUAAAAGUUUCAAAAGUUACCCCAAACAACAGCCCUUGAAAGAGAGUUUUCCAAGGCUAAAGAUUACAAGGAUGUUAUUGGCACAUGCAUUAACGUGUGACAAGAAGUUAGUUAUAUUUAUAAAGUAAAAGAACGAAGUACAUAACAUGUAAGUUGAUGCCAAAUAUUUGAUCAACAGAGCUAAACAUAAAACCACGACAAUAUAACGUUGUUCACCAAAAAUUGUGUUUCGUUGAGGGUCAGUAGUGUAGGUUUCAAGAUACGAUUUAUUUUGUUAAAGAAUAUUCUGAUAUUCUAACAAUAAAAUUGGCUCAAUUUGAUAUGUUUCUUUUUUUUUUUGUUUUUGUUUUCCCUUUCAUUUUAUGCUUUGUUGUGCUAUUGCUAAGUUUAUCCUAGAGACCAGGGAUGCUUAGCAAGUUUCUUCACCUGCCCUUCUUCCCAUGUACUAACUAGGGAUACCAUGUCAGAAUCUUAGAUAAGAAUCCCAACCCAAUCAAACUAUGACAUCUGUAAGUAUUCAAAAUUGGAAUUUGCAUUGUGAUAGUUGAGUGGAAGAAUCGAUUAAGGCUUGAGUGGAAGACAAACUUCAGUGGAGGAAAGUAAUUAAUCUCACAAGACAUAGCCCAUCAGUUGGCUCAUUUUUCUUGAGUGUGUAGUCCUGGCCUUGAGGCGAGGCCACAUUGCUUUGGAGAUUUCUUUCUACUUGGUGAAAUUAUAAUUUAGAAGAAGCAAACUGCGUUUUGCAAUUUGUGCGAUUCAAGCAUAUCUGACACUAGUAAUUAGACCAUAAUCUUUGUCCGACCAGAAAAUAAGAAAAGUUGUCUUGUACCAUUUCUGCCAGUGUGGGUCCCACCCACCCCAUACGAGUAAUUUGAAGAAGUCCACCGACAAUUUCCCAAAAGCUUUGGCGUCCAACUUUGCCGACCCCAUCCCCAUGUGAGGCCAUAGAAAAGUUUUCAGCCACAAUCAAAGAAGGGAACAGUCCUUGAAAAGAGAGGGUUUUCCAAGGCCAAGAUUACAAGUUCAUGUUAUUUACAGUCUCAAAAAGCUUCCAUACUUGUUUACAAACCUGUAUUUUCAAGUUGUGCUAGCCUAGCUAUUUGCAAAUCUUGGAAUAUUUUACUUCAUCCAAAUCCCUUGCAGUCUGCAGAGAAGAUAAAAGACAUGGCUUUGAUUGGAGAGGCUCUUAUCUCUGCUUCCGUCCAGGUGUUGUGCGACAGAAUUACUUCACCCGAGUUCGUUGACUUAUUUUGGCACAAGAAACUCGAUGAGCCACUCCUCAGGAAGCUGAGGACGACACUGUUGGCCUUGAACUUGGUGCUCAAUGAUGCAGAGGGGAAGCAACUUGUGAACCGAGAUGUGAAAAAGUGGCUUGACGAGCUCAGACAUGCUGUCUUUGAUGCGGAGGACUUACUGGAUGAGAUUGACACUGAAGCUUUGCGAUGCAAGCUGGAAGAAGGUGAAGAUCAAACUCACAAAUUUACCAAUAAGGUGCGGAACUUGCUCUUUUCUCCUCGUAGUCAUUUUUAUCAGAGCAUGAAUGAUAAGAUAAAAGAGUUACUAGCAAGGUUAGAAAACUUUGUACAACUGAAAAGUGCUCUUGGUCUGGGAGAAGUUGCUGGGAGGAAGGUUUCGCAAAGAACUCAAACAACCUCCUUGGUUCUUGAACCUUAUGUAUAUGGUAGAGAUGAAGUCAAAGAAAAGUUAUCAAAAGUGUUGCUAUCUGAUGAAGCAGGCAAGGAUCCUGUGUCUUUCCUCACCAUUGUUGGAAUGGGUGGGGUUGGCAAGACAACCCUUGCUCGAAUGCUUUACAAUGACGAUAAGGUGAAAGGGCAUUUUAAACUUAAAGCUUGGGCUUGUGUUUCAGACUACGAUGAUUAUAUUAAAAUUACUAAAACUCUCCUUGAGGCAGUCACUUCAAAGCCUUGUAACACGGCAAAUCUGAAUUUGCUUCAAAAAGAUCUAAGAGAGCAAUUGAGGGGAAGGAAAUUUUUAUUUGUGUUGACCUAUGGAAUGAGAAUAAUGAGGAUUUGAACUACCUUAGAGCUCUUUUUAUUACUUUAGGAACAAUGGGAAGUAAAGUCAUUGUAACAACACGGAACAAAAAUGCAGCAUCUGUCAUGCAAAAUGUUCAUAUUCAAUACUUAGAACCAUUGUCGUAGGAGGACUGCUGGUUAUUACUUGCAAAACAUGCAUUUGGAAAUGAAAAGUGUAGUGCACAUUCAAACUUGGAAGACAUUGGAAAGCAAAUUGCACUCAAGUGCAAAGGGUUGCCUUUAGCUGCACAAACACUUGGGAGUUUGUUACGUUGCAAUAUGGAUUUCGAGUACUGGAAUAGAAUACUAAAUGAUAGUUUUUGGGACCAACCCUAUGAUAAAACUAACAUUCUUCCGGCUCUAGGGUUGAGUUACCAUUAUCUUCCUACUCAGUUGAAACGAUGCUUUGCUUAUUGUUCAAUUUUUCCAAAGGAUUAUGAGUUUGAAAAGGAAGAUAUAGUUCAAUUAUGGAUUGCAGAAGGUAUAAUUCCACAAGCUGAGAAUGGAAAAAGGAUGGAAGCAUUGGCUAGAAUAUACUUUGAUGAGCUGUUAUCACGAUCGUUGUUUCAAAAGUCAAGUAAAUUCAGCUUCAUUAUGCAUGAUCUCAUUAAUGACUUGGCUAUGUUCAUGUCUCAGGGGUUUUGCCUUAGGCUCGAAGAUGGGGUAUCCCGUGAAGUUAAAAGAGCUCGUCAUUUGUCAUAUGCUAGGGGAGAAUUUGAUGCUGCUCCAAGAUUUGAACCAUUAUAUGAGGCUAAAUGUUUGCGGACCUUCCUACCUACCAUUUGUUGUGGGCAAAUCUACUGGAUCAGGCAUAAGAGAACUGAGGCAGUUCCCGCAACUUCGAGGAAAACUAUCAAUUUUGAAGCUACAAAAUGUAGUUGAUGCGAGGGAUGCACUGCACGCCAAUAUGAAGCACAAGAAAGAUCUCAAGGAGUUAGAGCUUUCAUGGGGUGCGGAGGAUGCUGAUGAUUCCCAAAAGGAGAAAGAUGUACUCGACAAGCUCCAGCCUUGCGUGAAUUUGGAGAAAUUAACCAUCAAAUUCUAUGGUGGAACUAAUUUUCCGAAUUGGUUAGGAGACUCGUCUUUUUCUAACAUACAAGUCAUGCAUCUCAGUGACUGUAGUUAUUGUUGGUCGCUCCCACCAGUUGGACCGCUACCGGCACUCAAACAGCUCUGUAUAAGAAGAAUGAAGUUUGUGAAGACGAUUGGCGUUGAAUUCUAUGGCAGAAAUGGAGCUUAUCUGACUCAGCCAUUUCGAUCUCUGGAGAAGCUAGAGUUUAGGGAGAUGCCAGAGUGGGAGGAAUGGGUACCAAGUGGAAGUGCAAGUGGAGGUGAAUAUGGUCCAGACUUUCCUCGUCUCCAGGAGCUGAUUCUAUACGAGUGUCCGAAGCUAAGAGGAAGUUUGCCUUGUGAGUUGCCUUGCUUGAAGAAGCUUACGGUGUAUGGGUGUAAGGUUUUACAUGAUGGAAGGGCCAUUACCGCAACUACCAAUAGUCUUAACUAUAAAUCUCUGGAAGAAUUGAAUAUAAGUGGUGGAUGCCAAACUCUGUUAUCAUUAUUAGAGACAAAGCUCCUGUCCGGACUUGAGAUUCGAAAUGUUGUUGACAUACAGUGCUUGCCCAACUGCAGUCGUCUUCAACAUUUGACUCUUUCGAAUUGUCCAACGCUGUCAUCAUUUCCCAAAGAUGGCCUACCCACUACAUUGACAUCACUUUAUAUAAACAAUUGUAGGAAAUUAGAAUUCCUACCUCAUGAGAUGUUGGCCAAAUUAACAUCGCUUGACUAUUUGUGCAUACAAAAUAGCUGUGAUUCAAUGAGGUCCUUCCCGUUGGGCAUUUUUCCCAAAUUGACGAGGCUUGAAAUUCGUGGUUGUGAGAAUCUGGAAUCCCUUUCCUUGAUUGAAGAAGAAGGAGCUGUUGAGAAUCUCAGCCAUCUCAAUUACUUGCAAGUCUAUAACUGUCCAAAAAUGGUGUGUUUUCACGAGGGAGAAUUGCCCACUCCCAACCUGAGUCACUUUGUAGUCGGUGGUUGCGAGAAUUUGAAGUCAUUGCCCAAAAGCCUUCACACCCUCACUGCCCUUCGAUCUUUGUCGAUAUGUAAUCUUCCGAAUCUGGAGUCAUUUGCAGAAGAUGGGGGUUUGCCUCCCAACCUCCGACAAGUAAGUAUUAGGAAUUGUGAGAGACUGAGGGCUUCAUCAGUGGGUUUGCAAGCACUUGACUCCCUUGAGAUCAGUGGAAGUGACCAUGUAUUCUCUAUCACACUCUUCACAUCUAUUCUCUAUCAACUCUGAAAUCUUUGGACGGAAAGGGUCUUGGACACCUCACUUCUCUUCAAGAGCUAGAUAUUAACAGGUGUCCAAGUCUGGAAUUCCUGCCAGGAGAGGAACUUCAACACCUCACUUCUCUUCAAAAUCUAUACAUUUGGAACUGUCCCAGUCUUCAAUGCUUGCCAGAAGAGGGUUUUCCAUCAUCUCUUUCUCAUCUGAGUAUCCGCCGGUGUCCUACCCUGGAGGAAAGGUAUAAGAAUAAAACGGGACGAGAUUGGGCCAAGAUAUCUCACAUUCCUUGCAUCGAGAUAGGCAACGAAGUGAUCAUAUAAUAUGAGCUAUUCCAUAUUUCACGCUCAACCCUCAACUCUCAAAUCAAAGUCAGGUGAGGUAUGUGCCUUCUCUUACUUUAAAAAACUGCUGCUCAAUAACACUCUUCGCACUCUAUAUAUUAUGGCCUGUCAGUCUAAAAUUCCUGCCAGGAGAGGAACUUGAACGCCUCUCUUCACUGCAAAGGCUACAUAUUUGUGGGUGUGACAAUAUCCAAUUCCUGCCAGAAGAGCGUUUGCUGCAAUCUCUUUCUUAUCUGUGCAUCGACCAUUGUUUUGCCAUGUAGAAAAGGUAUCUCACAUUCCUUGCGUCAAGAUAGGUGAAGAAGUGAUCAUAAGAUAUGAGCUCUCUCUCCCUCUCGCUCACAUACAAAGUACUUAAAACACUCAAUCUGAUUUCUAUUAUUAUUUUGCUCAGUAAAUUUUGUUUAAAUUUGCUUUGUUUCUCAUUGCGCUUGUUCUGCUUAUCACAACUUAUAUCCUAUUUAAAUCUCAAAUGCUGAAUAGUUAGCAGUCUUUUCGCAGGACAGCAUAUCUUCUCUUGGAGAGCUAUUCAUUUGCAAGGUUUCUUUAUGUGUCAUUUCCAGAGGAGGGUUUACUAUUUAAUAGAAAGGUUCACCUGGAAUAUCUCAAAUGACACAUUCCCAAAUACAGGCAUUGAAUGCACAACAUUUUGAGGUACUAUUUUUGUAAUAAAAAUGUACUUGAGUCUCAUUUGAGCUAGUUUAAAUUGUAUUCAAUGUCUAUGGAUAACCUGUGAGCUUAAGUUGUAAGAUAAAACUCACAGUAUAUUAUUAGGGUUUAGGGUUCAACAGGUGAGCUUAAGUUGUACUUUCCUAGGUACUGCAUGUAUAUUAUCUUAGUAUCAACACUUGGUCUUAUGUGGACGAGAGAGAACAUUUGAGGAAUUACAAAAUCUUCUUAGUGAAUUAAGCUUGUUUCAGCUCUGUUUGUCAUCCCUCACAUUUUCUUUGUUAAGCCUUGAUUUUUUAUUAGACAUACGAAAAAAUGCUUUUAUAAGACAGGAGAUGAAUGCUUUUAUAUGUUGAUGUCGUAGUCAGUCUUCAACCACACUCUGUUUUUAGAAUUCAUUUAUGUUACUAGUUGAGAGCUGCUGUAUUUUAUAUUUCGUUCCUGUAAUGUUUGGAUGUUUAGCUUGAGCAGUCUAGCUUAUCCAGUAGAUAACUUGUCCCCUGUUUUGUAAUGUUUUUGUUUCCUCUAAUGAAAGCAGGUUUUACUUAUCUUGAACUGCAGAAGCCUACUUUUUGACAUAGGUGGCAUGGCACAAACUCGCAUCCGCAUUUCCAUCCCCAUUGGCAUGCUGUCUCAUCUUUUCUAUUCUGUUACCAGCUUGAAGCUUGUGUGGACAUGUUAUGCUCUUGUAAUUCUGAUCACAAACAUCACUUGACAAAUGGAAAGUCACAAUCAGAUCUUUCAGGUGAUCUGGAGGUUUACUUUCUAACAUUUGUUUUCGUGGGGGGGAGACAACAAUACAGAAUUUAAAAUUUCUGAUAAUCAAUAGUAGUUUGCAUAUAUCAGCUGGGACCUGUAUGACUGUAUUAUGUAAUUAAUUAUUUCUCUUAUUGUUUGGGUACUGUUAAAAGGAGUUAGCCACACAACAUAAAAAAGGAGGUCUCUUAUUUCAUACAAUUUUUCAAAUGUGAUCAUUAAUCCGUUUCUUUUUCAACAAUAGAGGAAUGUAUACUAAUCGUCUGGUCCAUCUGCUGCUUCACUCCCUAGUAGCUUCAUCUCCUGUCCUUUGCUUUAUUUCUGUUGAUGAAUGUUUUGUCUGGGUUAUUUAUUUUCAUUUCAUGUCCAUUGCUUUAUUUCUGUUUGGAUUCUUAAUUAAAUCUGUCCUGGACUUGAACAAGGGUUAGGUUAGCUGUAUAAUUUGCGGUUUUAUAUACACAACUGUCUACAUUGAUUAAAACCAGCAUUAUUCUAAGGUUCAUUUAGAAUGUAUUAUCACCAAAAUUAUAAAGAAUACUUCUAUUACAAUUAAUUUGUUGAUUCUAAUUUGGACUUGUAGGAACAGACCAAACAUGUUCAUGCGUGGCAUUGCUCAAGUCAUCAUCAUUCGAGACAGAGAAUAAGCCUUCAAGUGUCUGCUGAGUCAAUGAACCUUUCUAGAUAUCUCAAGUGUAAUGGAAAUUGAUGAGUUACAAAGGAUUUGUAAACAUUUUCUACUGGAGGCUAGAAAUGCUUCAAAUAAAUGACCGUGUUGCAAUUAUUUUGUAGGAUCAAAGACUCUGCAAAGAGGUAAGAAAGUCAUCAUCAAGUAACUUUGCUCUUCAAACUUUUUAUUUUUAUUUUUAAAUAUCAGUAAUAACUGGGAAAGCUUGCAUCUCCUUAAAUUGCUCAUUCUUACAUCUUUUAUAGUUUGUUGAUCUUGGGCAAGUGGAGAGAGAGGCGUCAAGUGAUACGCAACAACCAUUUUCUGUGAGCUGAUUUGAUAAAGAGAAAUGGUAUGCUUUCUUGUCUUAAGCGGUGUGUUCUGCAAUUAUUUGAAACAAAGGAUGCCGCACUUCAAGUUCGAGAAAAUCAGGUAUUUUAGUAUUUUAUUCUUGAGAAAUUUGAUUUAUGUAGAAACUUGAACAUGUAAAUAAAAUAAAUAAAAUAUAUUAUAUGCUGUUAAUGAGUUAAUAUGGUGCUUGCUUCUAGUUGGAAAUUUAUGUAGUCAUCUACCUAUGAUCAAAUAAAGAUGAAGAAUAAAAUAUAAUUGAGAGCAUCUUCCUCUCCCCUGCUUUGCUCAUCCCUUGUUCUUCCACUUCAGCCCCACUAUUACACCAUUUUUUCAGCCACAAUUAUAAUAGCUCCAUGAGCAUUAAGUCCUUUUCAAAUUCUGCUGACAUUCAAAAUUGGAAUUUGCUGGUGAUAUAUGAUAGCAUCUUUGUCCGACCAAAAAGAGAAAAAAAAAAAGUUGAUAGCAUAUUGUACCAUUUUGGCCAGUGUACGCAAUAUUAUUGCAUCCAACUUUGCAUAUUAACAUCAGUGGCCACAGUUCCAUGAUUUGAGUGCACAGAAAAGUUUCAAAAGUUGUCCCACAAAGAACAGUCGUUCAAAGUGAAAGAGAGAUUUCAAAGCUUAAUUACAAGUUCAUGUUAUUUACAAUAUCAAAAAGCUUUCAUACUUGCUUACAAACCUGUAUUUCCAAGUUCUGCAAACCUUGGAAUAUCACUUCAUCCAAAUCCCCUUCCAAAGCAGGAAAAAAUGGCAGCAGCUUUGAUUGGAGAGGCUCUCAUCUCUGCUUCUAUCGUGGUGUUGUGUGACAGAGUUACUUCAGCCGAGUUCAUAGACUUAUUUCAGCAGAAGAAACUUGAUGAAACACUCCUCAUGAACCUGAAGACGACACUGUUGAUUUUGUUUGCGGUGCUCAAUGAUUCAGAGGAGAAGCAAAUUGUGAACCCUGAAGCUUUGCGAUGCAAGCUGGAAGGUGAGGAUCAAACCCACAAUAAUUAACCAAAAAGGAUCUUUUUGAUUGUUUGAAAGGAGGGUCUUGAUGAUUUGAAAGGAGAGGGUUGCUUUAUUUCUGUUGGAUGCUUAAUUAAAUCUUAUUUGGAGUUGAACAAGGAUUAGGUUAGCUGUAUAAUUAGUGGUAAACGCCUUUUUCUAAGGGUCAUUUAGACUCCUAUUACGAUUAAUUUGUUGUUUCUAAUUUGGACUUGUAGGAACAGACCAAAUAUGUUCACACGUGGCAUCGCUCAAGUCAUCAUCAUUUCAGACUGAAAAUCAGCCUUCGAGUGUCUGUUGAGUCAAUAAACCUUUCUAGAUAUAUCAAGUGCAAUGGAAAUUCAUGAGUUACAUAGAGAUUUUUAAACAUUUUGAAGAUUGCAACACCUGCAAGUGAGAUAGGCGGUGACGAAAUCAGAGCUGAUUUUGAAGCCUCUGAUGCCCCUGUUGUUGCAAGUUGCACCUGAGAACAAGUUUUUUUUUUCUUUGGGGUAAAAAACUGGCAACAUGUUCGGAGCUGACAAUUCAAUCCCUGAUGAACUAGAGAAGCAAAGCUCCGGUAAGGAAAUUGGUCAAGGUUGUGACAGGGAUGAUUGAUGGUGAAAUGGAUGCUAUUUCUUAUUGCAGCCUGUUCUCAAAGUUCUUGUUGGCAAAUGCAAUUGAUGGAGUAUUUUGAUUGGGAGGAGAGAUAAUGACAUGGCUUGACAAUUCUAGAACAGCCCAUCAUUAAUCCCAGAAAAAAUCCCGUUUCUGCUAAACAAUCACUUAUGGCAAGGCCAACUCUGUAAAUGGAAUUUGUGAUCCCUUCAAAUUGUACACAUUUUUUCUUUUUGAGGAAUUUAAUCAAACAGUAUUCUAAUGCAUUAUGAUAGCACUACACGCUUUUGUUGUAACAAAUUACAAGGAGGAAUUUGGAUUGAGUUUCUUGUAUAAGCACACCUUACACAAAUUUCGUAUAUUUUCUUCCAGCAAGUCUGUUUAUUAACCCCCUUAUCUGAAAUUAAUUGUUAAAAGUUUUGAUUCAUCUUUAAUCAGUGUCUUACCCUUGUUGAAUAACACUCCUCUUUCUAAUUUAUAUUUGAAGUUUGAGCUUUCAAUUUCAAUUGUGGGCUUUGAUUUUUCAGAUUUUGUUUGUCAAUUUCAGUUUGGACAAAGCAUAUAUGCAAACAAAGUAAGCAUUUUAUGUUAUACUUUUGAACUAGGUGUUGAUUUGAUUUAAUCAUAAGUUUUGCUGGUGCAUUUACUAGGCUAAUCAUUCAAUACUUUUGAUCAUAGAACUUCUUUGGUUGAUAUUAUCUUUGUUAAGUUUAACCAUAACUUUAGAGAGGGGACUUCAACAGAUUUAUAAUCUCAUCAUUAUAGUAUUAAAAAUUAGAGAUUAUUUAAGGCAUUGUCUAUUAUCUGAAUUCUGCUUACUUUUAGUUCAUAUGUUUACAUCUUAGCAUAUUCAUGUGAUUAGUGCGGCUCAUACCACAAAGGCAAUUUUAGGCUCAUCAAGUGCUAAGCAAUGUCAAGCUUCCAAAUGACAAGUUCUCUACAUAGUUUGAGACCUACACUUACUAGAUAUUAGAUCAUUUCGAUCAUUUCCAUAUGUUUAUAUGUAAUUGACAUGUUAUAACAUUUUUGUAGCGUUAUAUAAUUAUUUAGCAAUUUAAUUAUUUCUUUGCAACUUAAUUUUUUUUGUCAAUCAUACUAUUGUUGACUGCUAAAAACCAUCAAGAAAUAGUUCUCAAGUUAUAAAAAAAAAAAAAUUUUAAAAAAGAUUUGUUGAUGCUUAAAAAGCAUCAAGAACAGAUAGUUUCUUGACGGUUUUGUGACAUUUCAUAACUGUAGGGGGCUUUUUCUUCCGACAGCUGUAAAUGGGCUGGGCUGCCGUAAAGGGCAGACUGAUGAAAUUGUCCCCUUUUGUAUGAGCUCAAAAAUUAAGCCCCAAAAUACUUUGAAAGGGCAGCAGAGCCUUAGGAAGUAUUUUGGUUACCCUCACCAACUAAAACAACAACAACUUACAGGUAAUUACUUAAUGCUUAUGGAUGAACUCUUGAGCUUGGCAUGAGAGACAUAUGGCAUGGAAGCAAAAUCAACAUGAGUUUAGCACUGAGGGGAAAUUUAGGCUCUCUUGGGGGAAAAAGGGAAGUGUUAAGGUGAGAGAGGAGAAGUUUGUAGGAGAUUUAGCUAAGAAAGGAGAAAUAUAGAACAAUGCUCUUUUGGCAGCUUGACAGAUGCUCUGUUUGCCAGAAAAGGAAGAUGGAGAAGAAAUGUGAAUAGUGCAAGAGUUUGCUAGAUUUUUGCAGGUAAGAGAGGAAGCUUGCUCUCUGGGUCUGAGUUGAGUUUUUUUGUGUGGAAGAGACCUCAUUUUAUAGCCCUUGGAAACCAUCACUUCCCAAGAAACCCUAAUGGCUUCUACCCAUUUUGGCCAAGCUUUUCCCUUCCUUUCUCAUUUCCUUCCUUGACUUUACCCCUCUUGAUGAAAUCCCCUCUGCCUAUUUGCACCAUAUCAGAGUUUUUUGAAGCUCAAGGCCCCUUUUUCCCGCAGUUGUCUCAAUGGGAGACUUCCAUUCCCAGUCAUCUCCUUUAUUGCUUUCCUUUCUUUUUUUCAUGGCCAAGUUUGGUGGGGAAAGGAGUUGGGAUAUAUAUGCUGGUUUGAAGGGUGCUUCUCUUCCUGGCAUCUUACACACUAAUACCCCUUGGUUCCUUGAAUGUUUUGGCUUUGAAACUUGCUCUCCCCCCCCCCCCCCCCCCCCCCAUGUACUGGAACCUACCAGCAGCUCUAUUCAAUGAAUCUUCAGACCUUCUCUUCGUGGCUUUUAUUUUUUAUCAACGGGCUGGGGCUUUUGUGGCUCAUUGUGGCAAUUGUAUGGGCUAAGGUGGUUCAUUAAGUAAGUGGGCUAUUUUUAUUAAACAUUAGGCUUUUUGGUUGAGUCACUAGGCUAUUUUGAUUGGGCUAUUGGGCUAUUUUUUUCCUCUCUUGUGCUCACCCACAUGUUUGGACCAAAGAAAUGAGCUUGAGUCCUGAGGCUCCCAAGCGACCCGAGACUUUCCAUUUCUGGCCCAUCAAUGGGCCUCAUGUUGAUUUAUUACCAUCCAUACCACAACCCACUCAAGCAGGCUCCGGGCAUUUGAAUGACUUGGGCGCACUUAGGCUUGUAGUGUGGUUGGGUGCGAAAUAACGAUUUCGUGCUUGGCAUGUUUUAAUUUUAUCAUCCUUGGGAAAGGCUGCGAUGUUUGAUUUCGGCAUGGGCUUGUAGAGCUGGUAUGCUUUAUUUCAACUCCUAGCAUGACGAAUUAUUUAUUUAGCAUGGCACGUGAAUUACAACUCGCAUGUGGUGGGUUUUUGUGUACUACACCUUACGCCUCUUCUUAAUAGAACAUCGUUUUGGGCUGAUAAUUUAUUCGGGCCAAACCGUGAAUUUUUUGGGUCUCAAUAAUAACCAUCAUGAAACAUUACAUUUUGACUGACGUCAAGAAAUGGGGUAUCCCUUUCCUGAUAGUGGCAUCCAUGAUGCCUUCCAAGCAGUCAAUUAAGGGCUAUCGUGAUGCAUUUUAGUUGUCAGCAAAAGGUGUUUUUCUUGUACUGUAUUCACUCAAAGUCGUGUUUCAUUUAAGAUUAGUAGUAUGGUUGAAUACCAUUUGUUUUGUUAAAGAAUAUUAUACAUUAGGGAUUUUUGUAGAAAUGUCAUUUGAACUUAUACCUUAGUUUCAAUUUGUCACCUUGAAGAAAAAUUUAAGAGAAAUGUCACCUUAAUUUUUAAAAAUCCAUGAUUUGUCAUAUGACUUUAAAAUCAUCCAAUUUUCCAUCCAUUUUAAGGGUAUUUUAGUCUUUUCAUUUUGAAGGAAAAAAAAGAGAUGAAAAAAGAGACCUCUCUCUUACUUUGUCCCUCAACCCAACCCCACCCGCCCCCCAAAACACAUCACAUAGGAUUGCCUCCCCCUUCCCCACUUUUCUUUUUUCUUUUUGUCCUACUUUUCCACUAUGUUUAUGUUGAAGGAUCUAAAGUUUGCUUGGUCACCAUCUGUUACGUAGGCUUCCCAAUUGUUAGUUUGGGUGGGUUGUGGGAAUUUGUGUGCUCGAAACCCGAGACGAAUCUUGUGGAAUUCCCGACAUCACACCGAUGCCGGGCCCACUUCUGAACUAAAUUCUCUUUUCCAAAAUUAAGGAAAAAGAGUACGAGGCUUUCUGCCGAAAUUUCGACAGAGUAUUCCCUAUAAAUUUAACAUUUCAGCUUUGGUGGCCGUUCUCUCAUUUCAGCUUUGGUGGCCGGAUGAGAGAACGGUCGGCUAAAACGUGGCCAGCUGGCACUGCCGUCGCGAGAGAGAGAGAGAGAGAGAGAGAGAGAGAUUUUUAUCAAAUCAUUUUUGCCAAAAUUACGAUUAUGCAACUGAGGGUAUUUUGAUCGUAUCUUUUUCAUUAUAACUCUGAUUCAAGCCCACUACGUGUUUACGGACUCAUCUCGCCGUGCUCUAUGCAAUUGUAUAGUUGAAAUUCCCAAAUUCCACCCCAGUCAAAAAUUCAACUUUAAACCCUACAAAAUAUUAUAGGGGCAAAAUGGUCUUUUAUCUAAUUAAAUUAAUAAUUGAAAAUUUAUUUAGGACCGGGUUGUUACACUGUCGUUGAUGGACUGUGCGAUGACACUCACACAAAGUCCUUGAGAAUAAAACACACACACACCAUGAAGAGAGUAAAACAAAUACACAAGUACACAAAGAUUUAUAAAGGUUUGGCCUUCUGCCUACGUCCUCUUGGUGAUCCACCCGAGAAAUUCACUAGUACGUAAGAACAACUUUGGUUACAACUAAACCCCCUUAGCUUUCAUAAGAACCCUAGAUCUCUUUUCUCCCACCCUUGCUCCAACCCUUUGAUGCCCUUGUAAACACUCAAGAAUUCACCCUUGAAUUCUGUCAUGUGUUACAUCUUCUCUUCUCCCCUUUGUUAACCUAACCCUAAAAGUUAUAUUUAUAAUUCAUAGGACUUUAAGUACAAGUUAACUAGGAAUAGGAAACAUAAUAGACCUCAAAAAUUGGAGAAAAUAUGUUUAGAUCUCGUUAGGAAAUUGCACAACACGUGCGAUCCGCUCGAGCGCCUGCAAAAUGAUCCCUUUGUCGCUCAAGCUGCCGAUAGCUCAUGGGAUGGGGGAAUUAGAGAUUUUUUUUUUUUUCAAUUUUAAUUGUUUAAAAGAUAUACAAUUUUUUAAUAAUAAUUUUUCCAUUUUUAAAAUACCCUUGAAAAUAGAAAGAUUAAAAUGCCCUUAAAAAUGGAUGGAAAAUUGGAUUGCGUUAAGGUCAGUUGACAAAUCAUGGAUUUUGAAAAAUUAAGGUAACAUUUCUCUUAAAUUUUUCUUUAAAGUGACAAAUUAAAAUUGAGGUAUAAGUUCAAGUUACAUUUAUGCAAAAAUCCUUAUACAUUAUGAUAUUCUAACAAUAAAAUUGGCUAAAAUUGAUAUGUUCCCUCUUUAUUUUCUUUUUCUCUUUUCCUUUUCAUUUUAUGAUCCAAUCCUUUUCAUAUAUUUUUGUUCAAGACUUUGUUUUAGAAUGCUCUAUUACUAAUUUGGUACAGGUCCCUAAAAUCUCGGAGCCGCCUUAGUACAUUCAUAAUGUACAUGUUCAGAGUUCAAGAAUAAUGUAUAGAAUGUGAAAUUGACGAUGCCGGCCUUUAUGAGGCAACGUCUUUAUUUCUUUGGUUAUUACAGUUUAGAAUAUUUGCACAAAUGAGAUGAUUCCAAGCAUAAAGUCACAUUCGACCAAAAAGCAUGAAGUCACACACAAAAAGAACACGGACAAUUGCUAAGUUUAUCCUUGUACCCUUAUUUUAUUGAUCCGACCCAAUUGAAAAUUAAAAAAAGAUGAUAAAAAAUAUUGUUCACUACUUUAAAAUCUAUGAGUAGAGUCCUCCAUUUGAAAUUUCGUCAUUAUACAAAAUUGGAAUGAAAAAAGAAAAUCCUACAGCUAAAUUUGAUAUAUUUCCUUUUCAUUUUAUGCUGGGUGUUAGGGCUUGUCAAUGGGCCGGGCUAGGCUAGCCCGGCUCAAAUUUAAUGGGCUUGGGCUAGGCCGGGCCAAGCUUUAAAGAGGAGAGAGAAAAUAUCCGGCCGAGUUUUUUAAGAAAAUUCAAAGCCCAAGCCCGAAUCACUGCUGUCUAGCCCGGCCCAAAUUUAAUGAGCUUGGGCCAGGCCGAGCCAAGCUUUAAAGAGGAGAGAGAAAAUAUCCGGCCGAGUUUUUUAAGAAAAUUCAAAGCCCAAGCCCGAAUCACUGCUGUCAUUUCAUUGAUUUGUGACGAGCACAACCACCAAAUCAGAAUUUACUCACGAAAAUAUCAAGUAUGUCUAGCAAAUUUCAAUUUUGAAUAAUACACAAUUUCAAAAGGAGGACAUGUUGCAAGACAGCAUACCUUCUCUUGGGGUGCUUUUCAUUUUGCAACAUUUCUUUACGUGUAAUUUCCAGAGGAGGGUUUAUCAUUGUAUAUAGCUUUUCGGGUGGUUUGUCUACAAAACAAAUGUCACAAAGAAGGAGGAGAAACGGAAAAGAUUUACUUGGAAUGUCUCAAGUCUCCUUUGAGAUAAAGGCAUCGAAUGCACAACAUUGCUUUUGUGCUAUUUCAUAAUUAAAGUGUGCUUCCCAAGUCUCCUUUGUGUUUUGUAACUUGUAAUGUUUGUUUUUUUGUUUCCCCUGUUUUCCCUCUUAUAAAAGAAAUACAGGUCCAAACCACACGGAUCUACUUGCAUAAUAAUGGACCAAAUUUAUGAUUUUUAGAAAGAACCUUCUGCCGGUGGAAUCUUGGGCUACUGUUGUGGCUCUCCUCUGUGUGCCUCCUUUUUAGAACGGUAAAAUAUUCAAAAUACUAGAAAAUGUUCGUGAUUAAUAUAAAUAUUAAGAAUUGAAAUUAUUAAUUAAAUGAGGAUAAUAUGGUAAAUUCACACUUUUUUAUAUUAAAAAAAUUAAAAUUAAAAGAAAAAUCAGAUAAUUGAUAUUAUUUUUAUGGAACACAGCUACUCAUUAUCUUUUUUAAUUCUAAAAUAAAUUUAAAUUAAAGAAAAAAACCCCUCUCACAGGCACGGAAGCGCGUGCUCAGAGGCUAGUUAAAAAUAAUGAACUUUGCUUCUGAAGACGUCUAUACCAGACCCACUCAACCUGCUUUAUGAUUAUACAAAGAACAAACUCGUCCUUAGACUCAUUUGGUUAAACUUAGAAAAUAAUGAAACAAAAAUAUGCACUCCCACAAGUAACACAGCCAGGAUUGAAAACAACUGGACAAAGAAAGGCAUGUUAAAACAGAAUUUUCAACAACUCAUCACCAUUAGACAAGAAAAAGAAAAAUCAAUACAAAAACAGAAAGAACAGAGAAUAAAUGUGGUGGAAGAAAAACGUUGAAGCCAUUUGUGAAUCCAACAACACUACCACUCUGUUUCUCUCCUUUUGUUCAGGCGGAUCUGCAUAUAUCCUAAGGCGUAUUACGGAAACAACUUCUUGCCGUUAUACUUGAAUGUUGUGGAUGCUUCAACGUUGCCAUCUGGGUGGAGUGGAUUUGUCCAAUUCACCUUCACUAUGGUAUAUACGUCCAAAUUGUUGUUAUUUGAAAGGCUUCUAAAUUUUAACAUUUUGAUUUUUAAAUUUUGUUUAAAUAUUUCGGCCCACUUAGUUCUUCUCAAAAUAUGUCAUCAAUAUCGUUGAAAGGUUGAACUUAGUGAAUUAUUAUAGUGCAGUACUGUAGAAUAGACACAUGAUAUAAUUUGUCCACAUGUUAUAAUAUAAGUAAAUAUUUAUUGAUAUUAUUUCUAAAAAUAAGAAAUAUCAACCAUUAUAUCCUCCCAUAUUAUAAUACAUAUACAAAUUAUACCACAUUAUCAUACUCUAAUACCAUUUUAUAAUUUCUCGUACUUAGAGCGAGUCAAUGACAUUACAUAAUAUAUAAUUGUUCAUAUAAUGGGGCAACUAACGUGAUCAACAAGUUGUGGUGAUUAAUUUAACAUAAUAAAAAAUAUACCAUUUACUUGAGUGAUGUAACAAUUUGUUCUUUUAAAUUGGAUUGCCAUCACUUUAAUAUGAUAUGUUUCUUAUUAUAGUGUCCCAUGUUAAGUGCUUCAGCAUUGUUUGUGGUGUGUACACAAAUUUUCUUAUAAAAUGUUUUAAUGCUUCUCACAUGUAUAUCAGAUAUAGACAGUUGAUGUGACUUAGAAAUCAAAUUGUCAAUAAAGCAAAAAAAUAUAAUUGGUGAUUGAGGUCCAAUUUAAUAGAAAAUAGUCUUAACUUGUAUAUUAGAGGUUUCAGAUUCGAAUCCUCACUGCAUUAUUGUUGUAUACGUACACGAGAAAUCCUCUUCUCCAAUAAUUUAGACUAUCACUUAUACUAAAAAAAUAUAUAUAUAUAAUGACUUUUACGGAUGCAAACAUAAAAUUACACCAAACAAUAAUGGAAUAGAAAGAUGCAAGUUAUUUUUUUUUUUUUUACAUCUAAAGUAUACUUUAUAUAUAUAUUUAUUAUGGGUGUUAUAACCGUUUAAUUUUCAGUUUUUAUUUUCUAUUUAUUGUUUUAAUUUUUAUGGUUUAAUGUGUAUGAAGAUUACAAGUAUUGGAUGUCUACCACUCCUCCUUCACAUCUGAAACAAACCACCAUCUCAUUUCUGUAUUUUCAUACUUUCAUAUAUUUUCUACUUUCCAGAUUAUUAUUUUUGGGCAACGGUUCUGUGACUUGCAGAUUUCUAUCCGAUUGUUAACAUGCUCAUAGCGGACCUUGAGCUUGCGUAUUGGGGAUCGUAUCUUGGAGCCUUAUAGACCUUUAUUACCUGCAUGUAGGGAGGUUAUAAAUGCUUUAGGUCAGCAUCUUUGACGUGCUUUUGCUUUCUUUUUUUUUUUACUUAUUUCUUCGUUUCUUUAUUUUUACUUUACUUUUAAAUUUUUAUUUUAUGUAUUAUUUAUAUUUAAAAGUUUUGAAUAAGAGUUUUACAGAAAAGGAAAAACACAAUUUCAAAUAACACAAAUUUCUCGUUUUUGGUUCUUAAAAUAAAUGAAUUUUUUACUUAUUUGUGAACUGAAAUGCCUCUAAAAAAAUAAUGAUAGUUUGAAGAAUUUGAUAGAAAUUAAAAAAUAUCCUCAAAUUACUUGGAAUUGAAGACCACAUAGGCAAAAACACCAUUUUGGACAAAGGCUGGUGAUAAUAGUCGAUAUCAUCUUUAAGUACUUUAAUAUGAUAUGUUUCUUAUUAUAGUGUCCCAUGUUAAGUGUUUCAGCAUUGUUUGUGGUGUGUACACAAAUUUUCUUAUAAAAUGUUUUAAUGCUUCUCACAUGUAUAUCAGAUAUAGACAGUUGAUGUGACUUAGAAAUCAAAUUGUCAAUAAAGCAAAAAAAUAUAAUUGGUGAUCGAGGUCCAAUUUAAUAGAAAAUAGUCUUAACUUGUAUAUUAGAGGUCUCAUAUUCGAAUCCUCACUGCAUUAUUAUUGUAUGCGUACAUGAGAAAUCCUCUUUCCUAAUAAUUUAGACUAUCACUUAUACUAAAAUAUAUAUAUAAUGACUUUUACGAAUGCAAACAUAAAAUUACACCAAACAAUAAUGGAAUAGAAAGAUGGAAGUUUUUUUUUUUUUUCCUACGUCUAAAGUAUACUUUAUACAGUCCCGAUCUCUUGGACCACAGGAGUCCAAGAGAUUGUGGUCACCCACCGUUGGAUAUUAAUCCAAUGGUUCAAAAUGAUAUAUAUAAAUGCAAUAUGACAUAAAUGAUUAUUACCCGAUCCAAGUCAACCGUUGAAUUUACAUUCAACGGUGGGUGACCAUAAAUCUCUUGGACUACAGGGGUCCAAGAGAUCAGGACUGAUACUUUAUAUAUAUAUAUAUAUAUAUUUAUUUAUUAUGGGAGUUAUAACUGUUUAGUUUUCAGUUUUUAUUUUCUAUUUAUUGUUUUAAUUUUUAUGGUUUAAUGUGUAUGGAGAUUACAAAUAUUGGAUGUCUAUAAAGGGCCACUCCUCCUUCACAUCUGAAACAAACUACCAUCUCAUUUCUGUAUUUUCAUACUUUCAUAUAUUUUCUACUGUCCAGAUUAUUAUUUUUGGGCAACGGUUCUGUGACUUGGAGAUUUCUAUCCGAUUGUUAACAUGCUCAUAGCGGACCUUGAGCUUGCGUAUUAGGGAUCGUAUCUUGGAGCCUUGUAGACCUUUAUUACCUGCAUGUAGGGAGGGUACAAAUGCUUUAGGUCAGCGUCUUCGACGUACUUUUGCUUUCUUAUUUCUUCGUUUCUUUAUUUUUGCUUUACUUUUAAAUCUUUAUUUUAUGUAUUAUUUAUAUUUAAAAGUUUGAAUAAGAGUUUUACAGAAAAGGAAAAAUACAAUUUCAAAUAACACAAAUUUCUCGUUUUUUGUUCUUAAAAAAGAAGAAGCAUUGAUUGGGGAGUUAUGGUAAACUCAAUUUCAAUGGUUGCGAUGAGAGGCGGUGGCGGCGAGGAGAGGACGAAGGCUUUGCUGCCGACGGGGUGGUGUGGGUGGGUGGAGACCUCGGCUGGCUGCUUGGUCCUGGGUUCUCCUUUAAUUCUCUGUUUUCUUUUUUCUUUUUCUUUUUCUCUUAGAGUUAUUGAUGUUAAGUGAAUGGACAGAUGCCAAAAUAGGGACAGAAGUAGGGGUGGGCAUCAAUCCGGCCGAUCCGGUCAAUCCGGCCGAACCGAUUAUAUUGGAUUGGUUUGGUUUGGUUUUGACCAAAGAAAAAGUCAACAUUUUGAAAAACCGAACCGAACCGGUUUGGUUUGGUUCAGCUGUGGUUUGAGAGUUUUAAAAACUGUCCUAAACCGAACCGGACCGAUUAUAAAUCAAUUUAUUAUUUAUUUAAUUUAGUUUACAUGUGGCAAGGUUUGUGUGCGUUUUGUGAGUCCGCGUAUCUGAAUGUUGGUGCACGUUUUGAUCUUCUAAUUUGCAUAUCCCAGUUAUUUGUGUGUGCUUGUAUUUCCCUCUCUUUCUAUCUCUACUAUGUGUGUUUGCUCUUUGUGUUGUGUGGCUCUUCUUACUCUAUCUAUCUUAAUUAAUGGGUCCAUUUCAUAAUUUCAUACGCAUUCAAACUCCACCUCUGUGAUAAAAACAUUUACCUCUUUGUGAUAAAAGCUUUUCAUUUGUUUGUAUUUCUCUUUGGCUUUUUGACUCACUCACUGUCUUUCUUUCUUUUAAUGCUACUUGUGAUGAAUGCAAUGAGUAAAUUUAAUGCUACUUGGUUAAUGCAAAUUUUGUAUAUGUUUGUUUUGAUGGAAAUUGUGAACUUAGAUGCAUGCUAGACAUUGGACAACCUUUGAAUAAAUGGAAUGAUGUUGUAUUAGCCUUUGAUGGAAUGAAAUGAAAUGAUAUAAUGGCAAAAUGUUAGCAUUAUAAUGUAAGAGCAGGUUGAAAAAUGCAUGGUUUUGUGUUAGGCACAAACCGGCCGAACCAAUCCGAACCAAACCGAUUACAAGUGGUUUGGAUUGGUUCGGUUUCCAUUAUGAUUUUAGGCUAAUCCGAACCAAACCGGACCGUUAUUUUCUUAUUGGUUCAGCUGUGGUUUGAGAGUAAAACCGAACCAAUCCGGACCGUGCCCACCCCUAGACAGAAGAUGUGAACCCAAUUAUAUACAGCUGAUUACAUAAAGUAACAAAUUAAUUAAUACUUGAGUGGAGGACAGGCUUGAGUGGAAGAAUUGAUUAAGGCUUGAGUGGAAGACCAACUUCAGUGGAGGAAAGUAUAGAUAAGGAAAGCAUGCCUCGUUUAACGGCUUUAUCUAAUAAAGAUUAGUUGUUGGCACUUGGAGUUUCUUAGGAAUGCUGGUUUUGUUUCCUUGGUGGACUUGAAAGGUGGUGCGUUGGCUCGGACAUCUCCCUAGUAAUUAAUCGAAGGUGGAAUCUUACAAGACAUACAGCUGCUCAUUAGCUGAAUAUCUCGCUCUCUUUAAAGAGAUCGAAGCAAACUGCAAUUUGCAAUUUGUGUGAUUCAAGCAUGAAUAUCUGAUAUAGUAACUAUACCAUUUGUUGGUUUGAUAAGAAAAGUUUGGUUAGCGAGGAUGAAACCAUAAAGUUCUCCAAAACACACAAAAAACACGAACAAUUGCUAAGUUUAUUCUUGAGUUCACACAUAUUUGUACAAAUGAGAUUACUCCAAGCAUGACUAUACCAUUUGUUGGUUUGAUAUGAAAAGUACGGGCAACGAGGAUAAAACCAUACAAACACACACAAAGAACGUGGACAAUAUACUAAGUUUAUCUUUGCGUUAUUGAUCCGACCUAACUGUAAAAUAAAAAAGAUAAAAAUAUAUAAUGUUCACUACUUAGAUCUAUGAGCACUAAAGUCCUCCUUUUGAAAUUGCACAAAACAUCACUUUUGGUCUUUGGUAAAUUUUUAAAAUAAAUGAAUUUUUUACUUAUUUGUGAACUGAAAUGCCUCUAAAAAAAUAAUGAUAGUUUGAAGAAUUUGAUAGAAAUAAAAAAAUAUCCUCAAAUUACUUGGAAUUGAAGACCACAUAGGCAAAAACACCAAAUUGCAACCUCACUUUAAUGAUAAAAAUGGUAAACUACAAAGACAAAAAUGACGUUUUGCCUUAUACAUAAUUGGAAUUUGCUGGUGAUAAUAGUCUACCAUCUUUUGUCGAUUUGCUGGUGAUAAUAGUCUAUCAUCUUUUGUCGGUCCGACCUAAAAAGAAGAAAAAGUUGAUGGCAUCUUGUACCAUUUUUGCCAAUGUGGGCCCAAACAAUUUGAAGAAGUCCACCGGCAAUUUCUCAAAAGCUAUUGUGUGAGUGUGAAGCUAAACCAAUAUUAUUUUGCAUAUACGACUCCACAUCCCCAUGUGAUGUGAGGCUACAAAAGUGUUUCCAAAACGAAAUAUGAUAUUUCAAAACGAAGCUAUGUAUAGAGUCAUUUGUAUUUGCUUUCACAAUAACAUUUGAUUUGUGAAAGCAUUUUAUAUUUAUACAUUCUGAUAUUCUAACAAAUAAAUUGACUAAAUUUGGCCAACAGGAUUUAGCCGAAUAGAAAAGUCCUUAUUUAUAGACUAGUGGUUUCAAAUUUAAAGUUUAGACUAUCGCAUGUAUUUAAAAAAAAAAAAACAAUUGGCUUAAUUUGAUAUAUUUCCUUUUUUUCCUUUUUCAUUUUAUACUGGGUGCCGUUAUUAAGUUUUAUCCUUAUUUUUUGUUGAAAAGAAAAUUGAAAAAAAAUAAUAAUUCCUACAGCUAGCAACUUCUCCACCUUCCCUUCUUCGCAACUAGGGAUGCCAUUGCAAGGUCACCAUCUCAGAUUAAGUCCUCCUUUUAAAAUUGUGUCGUUAUUCAGAAUUGGAAUAUAAUCCUGUACCACUUUGGCCACUUUUGAAGAUGUUCACCGACAAUUUCUCAAAAGCUAUUAAGCUGUACAUCCACAAUAUUAUUGCAUCCAUCCCCAUGUGAGGCUACAGAAAAAUUUUGAAAACGAAACUGGAUAUUUUAUCUCUAACAACAGCUUUCAUACUUCGUUUACCCUGUGUUUCCAAGUUGUGCUAGCUAUUUGCAAACCUUGGAAUAUUACUUCAUCCAAAUCCCUUGCAGAGAAGAGCAAGAUAUGGCUUUGAUCGGAGAAGCCCUCAUCUCCGCUACCAUCCAGACGUUUUGUGACAAAAUUGCUUCGCCUGAGUUCACCGACUUAUUUCGGCAGAAAAAGCUCGAUGAACAACUCCUCAACAAGCUGAAGACGACGCUGUUGACCUUGUCCGUAGUGCUUAAUGAUGCAGAGGAGAAGCAAAUUAAGGAACCUUUAGUGAGAGACUGGCUUGACAAUCUCAGACAUAAUGUCUUGGCUGCGGAGGACUUACUGGAUGAGAUCGACACUGAAGCUUUGCGAUGCAAGCUGGAAGAAGGUGAAGGUCAAACCCACAAUUUAACCAAGAAGGUACGUGAUUUUUAUCAACGCAUGAAUGUUGAGAUGAAAGAUUUAUUAGAAAGAUUAGAACAAUUUGUACAAGAGAAAAGUGCUCUUGGUUUGAGAGAAGGUGCUGGGAGGAAGGUUUCACAAAGAAGAACAACUUCCUUGGUUCAUGAACCUUGUGUCUAUGGUAGAGAUGAAGUCAAAGAAAAUCUGUUACAAAGAAGAGGAUUUGCCGUCAUCUCUUUCUCAUCUGAGUAUCUCGCGGUGUCCUGCCCUGGAGAAAAGGUAUAAGAAUAAGACGGGACAAGAUUGGGCAAAGAUAUCUCACAUUCCUUGCAUCAAGAUAGGAUACGAACUGAUCAUAUAAUAUGAGCUAUUCCAUAUUUCACUCUCAACCCUCAACUCUCAAAUCAAAGUCAGGUGAGGUAUGUGCCUUCUCUUACUUUAAAAAACUGCUUCUCUUCUUCUAAUUGAAUACAAAAACCAAAACACAUAUUCUCUUUCUCUUCCAAAAACCCAAAUACAUGUUGAACAUUGCCAAAUUUGAUCUCCAAAUUCCUAAUUAUUUCACGCUUUUUGUUAUUUUGUUGCUUAGUAAAUUAUGGUUGCUGGUCACAAAUUAUAGUCUGUUAAUAGGUUCAUGCCAUGAAUUAAUCUUUGGACUUUCCCAGGUACUGCAGGUUUGUUAUUAAUGUUGUGGCCUGAUAUUCGUCGUAUCAAUAGGUUGUCUUACGUUGAGGAGAGAGAUCGAUCAGCAAUUACAAAAUUGUUAGUGAAUUUAGCUUGUUUAUCAUCUCUCUCCUUUUGUUUGUUAAGUUUGGUUGUUCUAGGUUAAACCCUUGUCCCCGCAUUUCACAGCAACUCUAUGUUAUUCCACUCUGUUUAGUUUCAUUUAUGUUGUGAUUCGACUGCUGCUGUAUUUUAGAUUUCGUUCAUGUAAUGCUAGGAUGUUUAAUCUCUUAUCUGUGGUGGUAGUUGAGUAGUCUAGCUAAUCCAAUGAUAACUUGUCCCCUGUUUUGUAUUGUUUUUAUUUCUCUGGUAAUGAAAGCACGUUUCUUAUAAAUAAAUAAAAAAUAUUUCAUUGAUAUUCAUUGCUUAUUUUGAACUGCAGAAGCCUACUUUUGUCAGAGUCAGUAGAUGCCAGAAUGAAGUCAUUGCCUAAACACAUUGGCACCCUCACAGCCUUCGACAUUUUGGGAUAUAUGAUCUUCAAAAUCUUGUGUCAUUUGCCUCCCAACCUGCAAUAUUUUCAUAUUUUAAAUUGUGACAGACUGAGCCCUUUGGUGGGAGAUUACUGGGGUUUGCAAGGACUUGGUGGCAAUAUCUUGUAGACGUUUCUCAAGGAACAGCUGCUCAAUACCACUCUUCACACUCUAUAUAUUAUGGCCUGUCAGUCUAUAAUUCCUGCCAGGAGAGGAACUUGAACGCCUCUCUUCGCUGCAAAGGCUACAUAUUUGUGGGUGUGACAAUAUCCAAUUCCUGCCAGAAGAGUGUUUGCUGCCAUCUCUUUCUUAUCUGUGCAUCAACCAUUGUUUUGCCAUGUAGAAAAGGUAUCUCACAUUCCUUGCGUCAAGAUAGGCGAAGAAGUGAUCAUAAGAUAUGAGCUCUCUCUCCCUCUCGCUCACAUACAAUGUACUUAACACAAACACUCAAUCUGAUUUCUAUUAUUAUUUUGCUCAGUAAAUUUUGUUUAAAUUUGCUUUAUUUCUCAUUGCACUUGUUCUGCUGAUCACAACUUAUAUCCUAUUUAAAUCUCAAAUGCUGAAUAAUGAGCAGUCUUUUCGCAGGACAACAUAUCUUCUCUUGGAGAGCUAUUCAUUUGCAAGGUUUCUUUAUGGGUCAUUUCCAGAGGAGGGUUUACUAUUUAAUAGAAAGGUUCACCUGGAAUAUCUCAACUGACACAUUCCCAAAUACAGGCAUUGAAUGCACAACAUUUUGAGGUACUAUUUUUGUAAUAAAAAUGUACUUGAGUCUCAUUUGAGCUAGUUUAAAUUGUAUUCAAUGUCUAUGGAUAACCUGUGAGCUUAAGUUGUAAGAUAAAACUCACAGUAUAUUAUUAGGGUUUAGGGUUCAACUGUUCAACAGGUGAGCUUAAGUUGUACUUUCCUAGGUACUGCAUGUAUAUAAUCUUAGUAUCAACACUUGGUCUUAUGUGGACAAGAGAGAACAUUUGAGGAAUUACAAAAUCUUCUUAGUGAAUUAAUGUUGUUUCAGCUCUGUUUGUCAUCCCUCACAUUUUCUUUGUUAAGCCUUGAUUUUUUAUUAGACAUAAGAAAAAAUGCUUUUAUAAGACAGGAGAUGAAUGCUUUUAUAUGUUGAUGUCGUAGUCAGUCUUCAACCACACUCUGUUUUUAGAAUUCAUUUAUGUUACUAGUUGAGUGCUGCUGUAUUUUAUAUUUCGUUCCUGUAAUGUUUGGAUGUUUAGCUUGAGCAGUCUAGCUUAUCCAGUAGAUAACUUGUUCCCUGUUUUGUAAUGUUUUUGUUUCCUCUAAUGAAAGCAGGUUUUACUUAUCUUGAACUGCAGAAGCCUACUUUUUGACAUAGGUGGCAUGGCACAAACUCGCAUCCGCAUUUCCUUCCCCAUUGGCAUGCUGUCUCAUCUUUUGUAUUCUGUUACCAGCUUGAAGCUUGUGUAGACAUGUUAUGCUCUUGUAAUUCUGAUCACAAACAUCACUUGACAAAUGGAAAGUCACAAUCAGAUCUUUCAGGUGAUCGGGAGGUUUACUUUCUAACAUUUGUUUUCAUUGGGGGGAGGACAACAAUACAGAAUUUAAAAUUUCUGAUAAUCAAUAGUAGUUUGCAUAUAUCAGCUGGGACCUGUAUGACUGUAUUAUGUAAUUAAUUAUUUCUCUUAUUGUUUUGGUACUGUUAAAAGGAGUUAGCCACAAAAUAAAAAAGGAGGCCUCUUAUUUCAUACAAUUUUUCAAAAGUGAUCAUUCAUCCGUUUCUUUUUCAACAAUAGAGGAAUGUAUACUAAUCGUCUGGUCCAUCUGCUGCUUCACUCCCUAGUAGCUUCAUCUCCUGUCCUUUGCUUUAUUUCUGUUGAUGAAUGUUUUGUCUGGGUUAUUUAUUUUCAUUUCAUGUCCAUUGCUUCAUUUCUGUUUGGAUUCUGUCCUGGACUUGAACAAGGGUUAGGUUAGCUGUAUAAUUUGCGGUUUUAUAUACACAACUGUCUACAUUGAUUAAAACCAGCAUUAUUCUAAGGUUCAUUUAGAAUGUAUUAUCACCAAAAUUAUAAAGUAUACUUCUAUUACAAUUAAUUUGUUGAUUCUAAUUUGGACUUGUAGGAACAGACCAAACAUGUUCAUACGUGGCAUUGCUCAAGUCAUCAUCAUUCGGGACAGAGAAUAAGCCUUCAAAUGUCUGCUGAGUCAAUGAACCUUUCUAGAUAUCUCAAGUGUAGUGGAAAUUGAUGAGUUACAAAGGAUUUUUAAACAUUUUCUACUGGAGGCUAGAAAUGCUUCAAAUAAAUGACUGUGUUGCAAUUAUUUUGUAGGAUCAAAGACUCUGCAAAGAGGUAAGAAAGUCAUCAUCAAGUAACUUUGCUCUUCAAACUUUUUAAUUUUAUUUUUAAAUAUCAGUAAUAACUGGGAAAGUUUGCAUUUCCUUAAAUUGCUCAUUCUUACAUCUUUUAUAGUUUGUUGAUCUUGGGCAAGUGGAGAGAGAGGCGUCAAGUGAUACACAACAACCAUUUUCUGUGAGCUGAUUUGAUAAAGAGAAAUGGUAUGCUUUCUUGUCUUAAGCGGUGUGUUCUGCAAUUAUUUGAAACAAAGGAUGCCGCACUUCAAGUUCGAGAAAAUCAGGUAUUUUAGUAUUUUAUUCUGGAGAAAUUUGAUUUAUGUAGAAACUUGAACAUGUAAAUGAGAGAAAAAAAAAUUUAUAUAUAUAUAUAUUAUAUUGUAUAUGCUCUUAAUGAGUUAAUAUGGUGCUUGCUCCUGGUUGGAAAUUUAUGUAGUCAUCUACCUAUGAUCAAAUAAAGAUGAAAAAUAAAAUAAAAUUGAGAGCAUCUUCCUCUCCCCUGCUUUGCUCAUCCCUUGUUCUUCCACUUCAGCCCCACUAUUACACCAUUUUUUCAGCCACAAUUAUAAUAGCUCCAUGAGCAUUAAGUCCUUUUCAAAUUCUGCUGACAUUCAAAAUUGGAAUUGCUGGUGAUAUAUGAUAGCAUCCUUGUCCGACCAAAAAGAAAAAAAAAAAAAGUUGAUAGCAUAUUGUACCAUUUUGGCCAGUGUACGCAAUAUUAUUGCAUCCAACUUUGCAUAUUAACAUCAGUGGCCACAGUUCCAUGAUUUGAGUGCACAGAAAGGUUUCAAAAGUUGUCCCACAAAGAACAGUCGUUCAAAGUGAAAGAGAGUUUUCAAAGCUUAGUUACAAGUUCAUGUUAUUUACAAUAUCAAAAAGCUUUCAUACUUGCUUACAAACCUGUAUUUCCAAGUUCUGCAAACCUUGGAAUAUCACUUCAUCCAAAUCCCCUUCCAAAGCAGGAAAAAUGGCAGCAGCUUUGAUUGGAGAGGCUCUCAUCUCUGCUUCUAUCGAGUUGUUGUGUGACAGAGUUACUUCAGCCGAGUUCAUAGACUUAUUUCAGCAGAAGAAACUUGAUGAAACACUCCUCAUGAAC